RNAcentral lists this long non-coding RNA (71869 nucleotides) under Theobroma cacao (cacao). Its description in RNAcentral is "long non-coding RNA (TCAC_LNC003021)". The stretch from base 10120 to 10226 matches the Rfam family "Plant small nucleolar RNA R71". The record is from RNAcentral. Lineage: Eukaryota; Viridiplantae; Streptophyta; Magnoliopsida; Malvales; Malvaceae.
AGUAAAGAGAUACUACCCGAGGAUCAAGAAUCGGAGUACUUAGAAUUCGACUCCCAAAAUAGUGAGUAACCUUACUAUCAUCUUAAUUAUCUAAAGUGGUUUUUAUCCGAUUUUGUGAUUUUAUGGAAAAUGAGUUUAAAUGGUAAAUCUUUAUGUUUUAUAAACAAAAUGUAAUUUAAUGAAAUGAUUUUAUAAAUUGUCUUGAAAUUGAAUGAUGGUUUGAAAAUACAGUAAUUGGAGACUGUUUUUGUGUGUUGUAAAUUCAUGAUUCUAAUUGAUUGGCUUAUGGCAAUAUUGGCAUGAAUGGUUGAUUUGAUAAAUGUGUUGGAAAUGUAUAAAUUGUUGAUUUACCUUGAAAGGCUGUAAAAUAAAAUAAAAUAAUUGCCAUGUCAUGCUAUUGCAAAUUUUAUUGUAUGGUGGGUUUAGCUUACUGCAGUGGGUGGAUUCUAUAGACCAGCCUAUUAGAGGGGCACAGAAUUCGGUUAUACUUUACCUCGGUUGGAGAGGCGAGUAGGGUAACUCCCGAGGUAUAACUUUAGAGUUUCCUUUCACGCAAAACCACCACGUGAGGGUGAACUCAGCCAACACCAAAGAACGACUAUGUUUUUAAAAUAAAAACAUGAUUUAUGCGUACAUAACUUUUUAACAGCCUUGGUGGACUCGGAUGGGAUAGCCUUCGAUCAAGAUAUCCCUAAUAACUAGGUACGAGAAUGAUUUUGGCACGAGCCAAAGUUUUAAGAAAUUCAUAAGCCAUGUUGAUUACUCGAUUUAGAUGAAUUGAUUUUAUUUGGUUGAAACUUGUUGAAAGGUGAUGAAUUACAAUAUGUUAAACUAUUUUAUCUGUCUCCAUUUAUUCGGCUUUAGAUAUUUUAGAUGGUAUUUGUUUACUCACUGGAAUUAUAUAAUCUCACCACCCUCAUUUCCACCCAUUUCAGGCUCAGAAUAGGCUGUAGAUAGUUGAUUUCAUCAAGACUACCAUUGGAUUUGGAUCCUCCAAACUGUAGGUUCACAGUCUUCCCUACUUUUAGUUAUUCGGGGGUCCAUUGGUUAUUGUAAAUUAAAUUAAAUACUCUGGCUUACUGUAAUACAGUAUAUAUGAAUUUAUUUUGCUUUUACGUUGCUACAAAAAAAUUAUUUACGUAUAACUCUAAAAGUAUUAUUUUAUAAGAAAAUAGAAUAUUUUAUUGAAUUUUUCUUUUAUUUUUUUAUUAUAUCCAAAUAAUCAUAAUUUCAUUUUAAAUGAAGGUUCUAGAUGUUUAAACUUAUUUUUAUUAUGAAUUAUGUGUUUGUACUCUCAUACUACAUUUUUGACGGAUUACGAGAUUUUUGAGGAAAAAUGACCAAAAUGCCAUUGUGAGAAAAAAAUUGUUUUUCUAUUGUUUUUAUUUGGAAAUAGUUUAUAAUCUCUCAAAACAUAAUUUUAGUGACUAAUACUCACAGGGGAAGCGAGAAAAACUGAUGUUAAGCCUUGCGAGGUUUCGAUUGACAUUUCGGGUAAUGAAUGUCUAUCGGGAUGUCGCGGUAGUUGCCAUGGGCUCGAUGAGAGUUCUAGGCUGUGACAGUAAAAAAUUUAAAGUCAAUGGACAAAGAUUAAAGUGUUAUUGGGGAGGCGAAAUUAAUCAUCAAAAGUCCUCAAUUCGCUUGCUUGAUACAGCCUACAAUCUAAGUCAGUUUAGCCAAAAACUAUAAAUGAAGUGCUUCUUGGGAGGCAACCCAAGUUUCUUAACCUUACUCGUUUUUAUUUUAUUUCAUUUUUUUACUUUAUUAUCAUUUUUUUUAUUAUUAUUUUAAUCUAUUUUUUUUGCAAGUCAUUGGUUUAAAAAAAAAAAAAGGGUCAGAGCCGCAGCCUUCAAAUUGAGAGCCGCGACCCUAAAAUGUGCUAAAAAUGUAGCUGAAACAGAAAGUUUCAGUGCCAAGGCGUUGGGUGAAGUAAGGGAAAUUUGCUGAAACAAAAUGUUUCAGCGCCGUGGCCCUCACCUUGAGCGCCGUGACACUGAACAAAGCUUAAAAUCAGCAAGAAGGUUGAGCGCCAUUACGCUCAAAUCCGAAUCGUGAUGUUUCGGGAUAGUAUAGUCAAGCGCCAUGACCCUCACAAGUGAGGGCCACGGUGCUGGGUCGGGGCCCAGCCCCAACCCUUUUUAAAACCCUUUUUACUUUCUUCUUCUAUCACUUUCUUUGUCUCUUGCUACCAAACACAAUCUCCCCUACUCUUCUUGUAAAACCCGACCCUAUAAACACAUGUCAUGACAUACAUGCACUAAGUAACAUUUUAUUACGCUAGGAAAGUCCCUAAGAAUAGACGAAACCUGGUAUUGUACCUAACGGUACACUUGAGUUGAUUUAACCUCGAACUAGUUUAAAUAGGAAUCGUAGGAUGAAAUUUAAUAUUUUACAGUCCAGGAAUUACUAAAAAUGAUUGUUCGGAGUUCGAUGGUUCAUUUGGGGAAAAAUUGAAAAUUUUGAUGUUUUAGGGCAAAAUCGUCAUUUUGCCACCUAAGAUAAUAAUUUGAUCAUGGAGUGAAAUUUUUGACCAAGAUUAACUAUUUGGAGUAUAAUUUAAUGAUAGGAAGUGAAAAAGUUUAAUUUCGGUGAUUUCUGAAGUGUACGGGAAAAAUCGUAAUUUUACCACCCGCGAACAAAAUUUGAGAUUUUGAGAGAAUUCAGAUCAAAUUUGACAAAUUGGAGAAUUGUAUGAGUAUAAGGGAUGAAAAAUAUGUCUAUGGGUAAUUUUUCAGUUUUUGGGGUAAAAAUGUAAUUUUUGACUUUUACGGGGGUAAAAGUGUAAAUUUCAAAAAUUACUCCACCAAGACUUUGGAUAAGUCUGAGAAUUUUAUCUAAGCUAUGGAUAUGUGGGACAAGUGUAUGGUGAAAAUUUGGAAACAAAUGGAUGGCUAGAAUUUAAGGAAUUAAUAAAACAUUAAAAAAUGAAUAAAAUAAUAUUUAUUAUUUUAGCCUUUAAAAAGGUCAAAAUUCCAGAAUUCUCAUCUUCUUCAAGCCGUCCAAACUAGGAGAGAAAAGGGGGAAAAGAAAUAAGAACCCUAGCUGAAAAAUUUAGGAAAAAUCAAGAGAAAUCAAGAAAUCAAGAAAUCAAGCAUUAAAAAGGUAAAUUUCAUUCAUUUUCCUUGUGAUUUUCACUACCCAUGCAUUUUUUUCUCAUUUUCAUGCAAAAUCAUAAAGUGGGUACGGUCACCCAUGCUGGCCAAACCUCCAUUGAUGAGUUUUGAACUUGAGAUUUGGUUGAUUUUAAUUGAAUUAAGUGAUUUUAGUUAGGUUAUAUUGUAAUAUAGCAAAAAUAAGCUAGAGAAACAAUUUUCUCCCAUUGAAAUCCAUUAUGCCGAAUUUUCUAGGGGAAUAUUGGUUGCUGAUCUUGAUGUUUAUUUGAGGAAUUAUGAUGAAUAAUGAUGAAUUAUGAGCCUAGAGAAAUAAUGAGAAUUUUCAUAGCAAAAAUACAAAUUUUUACCCACUAGAGGUAUUUUCGUCAUUUGCUAUCGGGACUGAUAAUUUGCACCACACUGAGGGACAUUAAGUCAAUUUGGGUGCAAUUGAGGUACAGAAACUAAAAAAAAAAAUUAAUUUGGUGUUUAAACGGACGCGUAUAUCGAUUUAUCGGGUAAAAGAUCGAAAUAGGCUAACACUGCGUUUAGGCAAAAUUUAGACAUUUUGCACUUCAUAUCAUGCAUUAGUAGUAUAAAUUAGUUUAUUUUGGUUUAGUACCAAAGUAGUAAACCUCUUAAUUGUGCAAUUUGUCAAGGUGGCGAAUCCUCUGGUAAGGGUAAAGAAAUCGCACCCGAGGAGUAAUAGUUGGAGUACCUAAAUUUAGUUUUCAAAAACUGUGAGUAAACCUAUUAUUAUUGUAAAUUAUCUAGAGUUUAUUUUUAAAUGCUCUUUAUGUAUUUUAUGAAACAAAAAUGAGAUUAAAAUGAGACUUUUGAUGUUUUAGAAAUAAAUGUGACAAAUAAAUAUAUUGUGUUGAUUAUCUGAAAUAAUAAACUUUUGAUCAUGAAAUUGAGUAAUUGGAGGCUGCCAAUUGUCUUGAAAAAUAUAUUUUCCUAUGAAUGGCUUAUGAUAUAUGAGUAUGUGUGGCUAUAUUUUAUAAUUGCAUUGGGAAUUUAUGUAAGCUGCCUUUUACUAUGUAGGCUGGGUAAAUAAAUAAAAGCCAUGUUAUACUGUCGAAAUUUUAUUAAAAUUGGUGGGUUUAGUCACUGUAGUGAGGGGUUUUCGUGGAUUGCCUAUUAGAGGGGCACAGUAAACCAAGUUAUAUAGUUACUCCGGUUGUAGAGGCGAUGAGGGUAACUCUCGGGGUAAUGUUAGAGCUCACUUCACGUUGAACCCCCACGUGAAUGUGUAACUCGGCCAACGCCAAGGAACGACUUGUUUUCAAAACUAACAUGUGUUUAACAUGUAAAUAUCUUAACAACCUUGGCGGACUCGGUUAAAUGCCUCGGUCAAGGUAUCCUCGAGGCCUAGUUUUUGGCUUGAGUCCUAUUUAUAAUAAAAGUCAUGAUCCUUAACAACUUUUUGGUAAAUUACAAAUAUUUUAUGGUUUAAGAAAUAAAUUGAAAACCUUAUGAAAUGGUUUGUGAUUUCUUGUUUAAACUAGCCUCCAUUUUACUCACCUUUAGAUAUUUAUAAUAAUGUCUAUUUACUCAUUGGGAUUGCAAAAUCUUACCCACCUCCUUUCCAAAUAUUUCAGGCCUGUGGUAGCUUAUAGAUAGCCGAUUUUGUCGAGGAUUCCAGUUGACCCUUCUAUCUCACAAACAGUAGGUUACUAUCACCAACACUUGGUGUAUUUAUGGGCCACUUGUCAUUGUAAUUAUUAUUGUACAUUAUAACUUUGUAAAUUAUUGUAUGUAUGAAUUUAUUUUACUUACACGUGUUUCUAUAAAUAUUGUUUUAUAUAAAAAUGCUAUAUUUUAAUCAAUAUUUUGAAUAGUAAUAUUUGUCUAUAAAUCCUUUUAAAAUAAUUUUGUCUUUUGAUUUACUUGAGCCAGAAACGACUGGUAAUUGUUUAAAAAGGAAUGUUUAACAACGAUUGCUCACAGGAAAGGCAAGAAACUUAUACGUAAGCCUUGCGGGUUUCCGAUUGGCAUUCCUGGUAAUGAGUGUAAAUCGAGACGUCGCGGCGAUUGUCAUGGGCCCGAGGGAGGUUCCGGGUCGUGACACUUCUUCUGCAACUUUCUUGCUUAUCUCUUUUUCCUUUUUCAGUCUGCAAGUUUGCAUUCUGAUUUUUACUUUGAUUUUUUUCCCUGCACUUGUUGCACUCUUAAGGUAGCCAUUCCACCUUCUCUCCUGCAAAUAUUUCUUUUUCCAUUGUUUUUAUGUAGAGAGAAGAGGAGGUUGUAAAUCAUAUAAUUUUUGCUUCUUGAAUGAGUCUAUUGUGCAUGUUGGUUAAUGGGUUUCUCACACUUCUUCUUGAUUAACGCUUAAAUUGAAGACAAUUUUGACGUUUGCUGCCAUUUUUGUGAUACCCAUAUAUUAAAUUCAUAGAUUUUUGGUUGCUACAAAAUUAUUUGAUAAACGCUUGAUUAUUGAAAGUAUAUGAUGGGUUUUAUUUACAUUCUUAUGCUUGGUUGAGCUAGUAGAAUUAAAUUUUGGACUUGUGGUGCAACACAUGCCAUAUUUAUAAUGUUGGAUGAGUACAUUAUCAUAUAUAUAAUUUUUGGAUUUUUUUUGGAUUAUGGCAUUGUGAAAAUUAGGAUUAUGAGAAGGUUGUUAUAUUGUUGUGAGGCAUAGGGACUUUAUGUUGUAUCUUAAGAAGUAAGAUUGUCAAUGGAAAUCUUGAAUUUGAUUUGUUGCAUUGGACAGGCACUAAUUAAACUCAUGCUUAUAAGUCUUUCAUAUUUUCAUACUUGUUGACAUAAUACUACUUGCAUAUUUUUCCUCUGAAUUUAUUUUGAUAAUUAAAUUUCUUUUGUAGGAAUGGCACCAAAAUUAUCCAAACCAAGUUCCAGUGGAUCUUGUAAUAGAUCGAAGUUCAUAUCCAUCGAAGCUACUGCGCGAUAUCAUACAUCCUUGACCAACAAAGUGCCAAUUCUCGAAUGAGGAAUAGAAAUCCUCAUUCUACCUUACAAAGAAAUUAAUGACAUGAUUAGCGACAAAUAUUGGGAUCAAUUUUGUAACCAACCUGAUGUAGUAGUGGUUCUUGUAGUAUGAGAGUUUUAUGCGAAUGUGGUUGAGCAUGUUGAUGGUGUGGCGUUUGUUCAUGGUAAACGUGUUCCUUUUCAUAGCCGAGCUAUCAACGAAUUUUUUGGAACUCCAAACAUUGAAAAUGAUGAAUAUGGGCAGUACUUGGGUGAUCAUCAGGAUUCCAAUGAGAUUAUAUCGAUGUUGUGCAUUGAAGGAGCCUAAUGGAAGACAUCACAUGGUGAGCCAGUUUCAUUCAAACGGAGUGCCAUGAAAAAGGUGUUGAAAGUUUUGUUACAUUUUGUAAUGGCAUGGUUACUCCCUUCCACUCAUAUCAGUGAUGUCACGAGGGAUCGUGCAGUGCUUAUUUAUGCCAUUGUCACACAUAAAUCUAUUAAUGUUGGUAAAGUUAUCUCUCAUGCCAUCCUACAUAUGGGUCGCACUAAACGAGAUAGUAUUCGUUUUCCUUCCCUCAUCACUACCUUAUGUGCGCGAGCUGGUGUGCAAUGGAGUGAUAAAGAAGAGCUUCAACAACCAAAACUUCCUAUCACCAUGGGCAUUCUUAAGAGAUUAGAGGAAUCUACACCGGUUGCUGGUAGUUAUUCCCACGCAGCUCUCGCACCUCCACAUACAGUGCCCACACGUAGUGUUACUCAAUGGAUGGAGUGCAUUGAUCAUCGUUUAGAUCAUCAAGAAAUGUAGAAUCGGGCAAUUGAAUAGAUGAUGCGAGCCUAUGCUACACACAUUAGGAUGGAUAUGUCUACUUUUCCUUCGUUACCCAUGGAUUCUGACUCUGAAGAUGAUUUUGGUGGUGAUGAUGCGGAGGACUUGUAGACUACUGAUUCGGUGUGAGAGGAGUAUUCUUGUCCCUUGUCUUUUAUUUUCAUUUAUCACGUUGAGGGCAAUGUUCAUUUCAAGUUUGGGGGAGUAGUUUAGAAUUUUGUUAGCUUAUUUUUAGUAUUUUGCUUGUUUUUAUUUAUAUUUGCAUGUUUUGUUGUGUUUUCGAAAAAAAAAAAUUGAGAUAGUUGUAUCUCAUUCAUGAUUGUCCCAAUCCUAGGAUGAUAUUUUAAUUAUUUUUUGAUUCUUAGCUGUUGGGAAGCAUAUAGUUAUGAUUUAAAAUUUGUGAUAUUCUUGUGUUAGCCUUAUUUUAGAAUGUGACUUCCAAUAAUUUGAGCAUUAUACUCUUUGACUUAGAAUUUUUGUGUGAUUUAGAGAAAGUUUAUGUUGGAUAAAAAGUAUAGUGAAGUCAAGAAUUCUAGAAUUUGUUUGAUUCUCUGUCGAGGCAAAAUCUUAGAUAACACUUAGGAUAGGAAGUGAUUUAGGCCAUCUUUGGAUCGUUUGAGCCUUUUUGAGCCCACCUUGUUAUAUUUAUCCUUAGUCACCCUUUUUGAGCCUAAUUUACCUUUUCUUUCUAAUUACACAAUUAUAUUAGCCUUGGCCUGUUUAUUUAAUCCAACAAUUUGAACCUUUCACCCUUUAAGUAUGUUAAUCUUUCUAAAGAAAGAUAAAUUGGGGGAGAAAGUUGAAAAAAAAAUGAUGGCUAUUGGUAAAAAUUACCCCUAGUUUAGAAUUGUAAAAAAAAAAACUUUGAGGGUUGAAAAGAAAAAGUGAAAUAAAAUGUGUGGUAUAACGAAAAAUUUACUUCAAGUUUAAGGAUGCUAUAAAAAAUUUUUGAGCUCUUUAUAUGAUUUAGAUUGAUUAAGUGCUUAGGGUGAAUUUGAGCUUAAAUAUAUCCUUUAUCAUACCUUAACCCUAGCCUUACAUUACAAGAUUAAUAAAGACCUAUUGAUCCUUGAAUAAGUGUUUAUCUACAUUAGUGAAGAGAGAGAUGAAAAGGAAACUUAUGGGAUCUUAGUACUAAUCUAUGCUUAGAUUUAGCAUAAAUUAAUUUGAAUUGCAUGAUAUUCUUUGCAAGAGAGCAUUCACACACACACAGAAGUCCAUUCGAAAAUAAGUUUUCAGUUGAAUUGAUGCAUGAAUUUAAGUAUUAGUUGUAUGUUACCUUAAGUUGAAAUUGGAGUUAGUUUCUGAGGAAAAAUUGAGAAAUCAUGAUUUGGUAUUUCUAUCUCUUGUUUAUGGAUUUUUUUUUUUAUGAUUCAGUUUUUUUUUUGUGAUUUUCUUUUGCUCGAGGACUAGCAAAAUCUUAAGUUUAGGGGUGUGAUAAUUCUAUUUUAUAGAAUUAUUUUAUUCUAAUUUUGUUAUUAAAUAUUAGCUAAGUCCUCAAUUUUUAAUUAUAAUUUACUUAUUCUUAGUUGUUUUUAUAAUUAGGUUACUUUUAAGUUAGUUAUUUUAAUUUUAUGUUAUUCCUUUUAAUUUGGUUAUUAUUUAUUAUUUUUUAUAUUUUUUUGUAGGAUUAAAAGUGAUUAGGCUUAAUUUUGGAAAGUAAGGUGUAGACAGACCCAGAAUCUGCUUGCAUAUGUUUCAGUAUUUUGGCCAUAUCUCGAGCUACAGAAUUUUAAAUGAUACAAUUCUUAGACUAGUGGAAAUUUAAGAGACAGAGUUACAACUUUUAUGCAGAUCACUUCCCCCAGUUCUACCUCGAAGAUAGAGAAAAUCGUGUUGGAAUAUCAUUGGACGUACUGUACCGAGAAUGGAAAUUUGUAAAGACUGAUAAUUGAUUUUUGGGCCUCUUAUUACACCUUUAAGCCCAAUUAAACCCUAGAUCAGCUUAAGGAACUUUAGGUUAAGUUUAUUAAUACAAAUAGGAUAUGUUUAAGAACAUUAAGUAGACAACUUUUGAAAGAUUCAAGAAAUUAGAAGUUGAGGUUGAAACUUGGAGAUCAAGACGACAAUUAUUGUUUUGUUUUCUUCCUUAGCUUUUAAUUUUCUUGUUACUUUCAAUGGUUGAAUUUUAUACAAUGUUAUUUUAUUUUGCAAUUAUGAGUGGCUAAACUUGUUUCUCUAGGAUUCCAAUUGAACUCACAUGUAGUCUAAAUUUUUAUUCUCUUUCUUGCUUAUUUUUAAUGGGAUUUGAAUUGUUUAUUCCAAUUUAUUCUUAAUGCUUUUAAUUGCCUGAUUACCAAUCAAAUUGAUUUAGGAACCUAAACAAAUUUGGGAAAGGGAGUUUAAAGUAGACUAAAAUUAGGAUAGCAUAUGAUCAAAUUAAUUGAUUUGCGUAUAGGAUAGGGAUAUACCUAUAAGCCGUGUGUAGCCAGAUUAGAGCCUGAACUUAAUGAGUAUGUUUUAAUUUCAAAUCACAUAGGGAUAUAGUGUUUUGGUUAAAAUAGAUAUUUUUAUAAGAUGAGUCGGGAAACCUCUAUAAAUAAUUUAGGACUCUAGGUUAGCAAUUCACCCCAUUGAAAUAAGUUAAGGAAGAGAGGUAAGAUUUAGGUGAAGUGUGAGGGAUAUUGUAAUCCUAGGCUUGGUUAGUUUGAUAUUUUCUUCAGUUAUUAUUAUUUUGAUUUUUCUUGUUGGUUUUAAUAUUAGUUAAUUAGUUUUAGUUAAUUACUUAAUUUUGAUUAUUUGGAUAAGAUUAAAUUGUUCUAAUUUUAGUAAUUGGUAAAGUUUUAGAUCAAUUCCCUGUGGGAUCGAUACCUUGCUUGCUAAUAUACUAUUUAUUUGAUACGUAUACUUCCAUAGUAGGAUUUUAACUGACAAGUAUUGGAAUAUGGGUUGUUCUGCUAUCUGUUAAAGUUCCCCACAAACUAGACUGAUUCAGAAUUGUAUGGACAUUGAUCAUUUGAAUGGCCAUCCCCACACAUCUCACAAAUUGAAUUUUGAACUACAUGAACUCUCAGUGUGUCAAUCUUCUUGGACAGUGUAGCCACUUACACAGCUAAGUUGUUCAUUGCAUCAAUUUCAUAGGCUUUACCAGCUUUUCUCGAACCGGACCUUUCUAAAGGCCAUUGAUAAUUAUUUGAAGACAUCUCUUCCAACAAAUUAUAAGCAUUUGCCACAUUCUUACUCAUCAAUGCCCCACUAACAGCAGCAUCAAUUGUGGUUUUAAUUGACCCAAUCAACCCAUUGUAGAAUGUCUGAACUUGCAGCCAAUCAGGAAGCCCAUGAUGUGGGCAUCUUCGCAGUAGUUCUUUAAACCUCUCCCAAGCUUCAUACAAGGACUCCCCAUCAAAUUGUGUGAAGGAGGUGAUAUCGUUCCUCAACUUUGCAGUCUUUGCAAGUGGAAAGAACUUUGUGAGAAAAUUUUGAGCCAAUUCCUUCCAUGAAGUGAUAGACCCAUUAGGCAUUGAAUUAAGCCAGCUUUUUACUUUAUCCCUCAGAGAGAAUGGAAACAGUCUCAAUCUAAUAGCAUCAUCAGUUACUCCAUUGUAUUUAAAAGUAUCGUAAAUCUCUACGAAAUUUACUAAAUGAGCAUUAGGAUCAUCACUGGGUAACCCACCAAACUGGACUGAAGACUAAAUCAUCUGAAUAUAAGCUUGUUUAAUUUCAAAAUUAUUCGCAUUGAUGGAAGGUCUCCUAAUGCUUUGGUGCAAACCUUGCAACAAAGUAACUGCAUAAUCUCGCAAUGCUCUAUUUGCUUCAGGAACCACAUUAAUGGCAUUAUUACCAUUAUUAAUGUUAUCCUCAGCCAUUGUUUGAGGAUUAAUGCUAAGGUUUUUGUGAUUUCUUUCAACAUCUAAGCUCAUUUAAGGUAAAUUUAGAGGAUUUAUGCAUUUCUAGCUUAGUUUAGAGAAAGAAAGUAGCUAUAGUCAAAAGCGAAUAGAUUUCAAAAGUUGCUUGAUUAAUUGGUCUAAGAUAAUUAGUCUAGAAAUUGAUUGUUAUGAAUGUUGUAUGAUAGGAACCCUUGAAAACACACUAGAUUACACAGAAUUGGGGUUGUAAUCUAGCUUCCUAUAAGAUAAGUGGUUUCACCAAUUUCAAAACUAUUUUGAUAAGUAAAGUUGAAGCAUGAUUUGAGGAUUAUUGGUGAAUGUAAUUUUCUACAAAUAUUUAUGAAUUGAAAAUUUAUUUGUGGAUGAGGAAAGUAUUUUAAAAUUCGUUUUCAACCUAUUGUGUACGUAAAUAUGAUAUUUUGUAUUACUUUUCAACAAGGGGAGACAAGCAUCUUAUGUUUGAGUCCACUUGAUUAAUCCGAUCUUCAAACUAGUGUGGGUAUGAGAUAUGAUUUAUGAUUAAUGCAUGAAUGUAUGAGGUGUAUACUAGAUAUUCUGAGGCAUGAAAUGUGUGAUGGCUUGUAUCCUGAUUUUCAUCUAAAGAUAUUAUGUUUAUGAAUAUGAUGUGUUUUCCAUAUAGUACAUGAGAUGUUUGAGGAAGCAUGAUAAAUGUUAUGAGAUAAUGUAUGUAACACUUGUUUUACAUAUGAUAUGAUGAAAGAGUAGGCAUGAGGAAAUGCCAUAAGAUGUGUAUAUGAUCUGAAAUUUGAUGGAAUUGGAUCUAAGUGGAUUGAUGUGAUUGUGUAUGUAACACCCCGUAACCUCGUAUAAGAGCCAAUAAAACCUUAUUGAUAAGACGAAGGGUCAAUUGACGUAAAUCUAAGUGCCAAAGAGCGGUGAUCAGUGAAAGGAAUAUUUUAGAACAAAAUAUUCCACACACGAGAAAGUAAUAAUUAAAUAAUAAUAUUUUUUAUUGAGGAUGAAUUUGCGAGAAGGCAAUUUGGAAGUGAAUUGGAGCCAAGUAAGACACUUUGAGACCCGAGGAGACAAAUGGAGAAAUUUAUAAUAAAAUAAUAUUUUAUUAAUAAAAUAAUAUUAAAAUAUUAAUAUUUUAUUUGUUGUCGAAAUUAGCAAUGAAGGAGGAUUAUAUCACUAAUCUAAGUGGGGGAGAAGAAAUAAGAAAGAAUUUCGAAGAAAAAUGACAUAAGUGGGGCUUGCGUGCCUUUAGUUAGUAAAGCAAGAGUGGGUAAGUAUAUAUUUAAAUAUUAUGGUGACAUUUUGGUGUAGUGCAAAUUUUAUAUUUUAUUUGUACAAGUAUAAAGGAAGAAAGAUAGAAGGAAAUUGGAAUUUAAAAGAAAUGAUUGAAGGACCAAAUUGUAAAGGAUGAAAAGCAUGGAAGGUCGAAUGGUAAAUAAGGAAACGUUGAGGACUUAUGUGCAAUUACAAUAUUUGAAGAUAAAUUGAAAUUAACUAACUAAGGAAAGUUAGAUUAUGUAGGAUAAUGAGAUGUGCAUGUAAAUUCACUAUUACAUGCAAAUAAUAGCAUAUAAAAAGAAGAAAGUUAGUGGGGAACAUGUGGGACCCCCACCAUGUGAAGUAAAAGGAAAGAUAGGCCUAAAUCUAUUUGCAUGUAAAGAGAUUGGUGCAUUAGGUGGCCAAAUAAGAAAAGAAAGAUGUGAGAUGCACGUGACUUAAAUAGAUUAAUGAAUGACUAAAUAAAAUAUAAAAUAAAGGUGGUGCAUGAAAUAAAUAAUGAAAAAAGAAAAAAAUGAAAGAGUGAAAGUGGCGGAUGGAGAAGUUUAGUGAGGAUAGAUAAUGGGCCAAUGAACAAAGAAGGAAAUUGGUGCAUGAAGAACCGUUGGUUGGUAAAAUGGCCAAAUGAAAACAAAAAGAGAAUGUGUGCAUGUAUUGUGAUUGGUUAAAUGGGUGGCCGUAUAUGUGAAACCUCGACCUUCACAAACGUGUAACUAGAGGUAGAACUUAUGCUUAAAGGUUUAAUUUGAGCUAAUGAUGCUAGUUUUAUGUUACUUAUAAUUAUUUUAUGUCGUUAUAGGAGUAGGAUUAAAAAGUGAUUUCAAUUGGUGAAGAAAGGUGCAUAAUGGGUUAUUGCUCUAUUUACAUAUAUUUUGGUUUUUCAAGCAUAUCUCCCACUACAGAAGUCCAAAUAACAUGAAGUUUAGACCAUUAGAAAGAUAAGAGGCAGGGCUACACCUUUUAUGUUUACUAAUUUGCCCAAUUUUAAUGGGAAGGUGGUCAAAAUUUUUAUCGAAGUGAAAGUACUGUGCCAAAAGAACAGAUUUGGAUAGAACAUUUGAGCGCCGCAAAGCUGAAAAUUGAGAGCCACAGCCCUCACCAUAAUUUCAAAAAAUAACAAGCUUAAGGGAUUUUUGAAGCUAGGGCUUUUGAGGGCGACUUAAGAGACCUCUUUUAGAGGAUUUUGGACCUUUUCCCAACGUCAAAAGAGUAAAAAGAUUGCACAAGAAAAGGAGGAAAACAAAUGGCCUUGUUAAGGGCAUUAUUGUAAUUGCAUGAAAAGUUAAAUAUGCUUCAACUAUAAAUAUCUACUCUCCAGCAGCCUUUUUCAUUUUUUUUCCAAUAGCUUCUUAUUCCCAUCUUUCUCUUCAUCUCACGUUUCUUCAUCCUCCAUGGGAGUUCUCUUCAAGCUUCCAUAACUCUCUCAAGUUAGUCUCAAAUUUCAUGAUUUUGUGCACCAUUUCACAAGCCCUUUGUGCUUUUUUACUCUUUCACCUUAAAAACCCUCCAAAGUCUUAAACUAAUACUUUCUCUCACUAGCUAGGUGUUUUAGAGAGAGAAAGAAAGACUUUCUAUAAUAGUUUGGAAAUUCUUGAAGAGGAAUCCAAUUACAAAUCUAGCAAGGUGAGUAUUGAAAUUGAGUUGAUAUUUUUAGUUGUUGAGAAUGGCUGGUGGUUAAAUCUGUGAGUGUUUUGUAGUUAAGGUGAUUUAUUCAUUUUAGUGUGAUUAGAAUAGUGAAAAUAGAUAGCCACUUAAUGGUAGUUCGAAACUGGUUAGGAAUAACUAGUAGAACAUGAUUUAGGAGAUAGCUUCUAGAACUAUAUUUAUGUGAAUUGAGUUAAUUGUGAUGCUAUUACGAUGAUAGGUUCCAACAAAGCUCCAUUGCCCCAUUUGGACCAUUAGAGGAAGUUGGAAUUUGGUAAAGAUUUAACAAAUACUAGUGAGUGAACUUGCACUAAAAGGUUUUGGGUAGAUGCACAUACGUUUGAAUGAAUCACUUGAAUUGUUUAAAUUGUCUUUUCUUCAAAUUGCAUACUAGAACAAGCCUUUAACGAAACGUUUUCCUUGCGUUGUGAAAUGUGAUUGUAAUGAAUUUACGAAAUUGCUUUAUAUGUUGAUAUAUAUAUAUGUAUAGUACAUUGGUAGAUAAUAUUGUGUAAUGAAUAUAACAGUGCAUGUGCACGAUAUGGGGGAUGCAAAUGCCGGUAAUGACAAGGUGUGGGAGUUUGGAGGAUGACAUAGUUGUGAGCGAUGUGGGGGUUGCUCAUGACCUAGGUGAGGCGGCAGUGAUAUGCAUGUUGAAGUAUGUAUAUGUAUAUAUGUAUGUUAUACAAAGUUUAUUAAAAUAUUUGUGAAUGGGUUGUAUGUUGGCAUUAUUAAUUUCUACCAUAUUUUCCACUUCUUUAACAUCAUGGUUAAUCAUGAAUUUCCAAUGACAAAGGAUUAAUUUAUCUAGUUUGGAAUAAAAGGUUUUAAUGAGAAACUCUCGUGCAGUUGAGAUAAACCCUUGUACAACUGAGAGGAACCCUCGUACAGAUGAUGAUAUUUACCUAAAAUACGCUGCAAUGAGAAUGCCUUUCCGCUACAGUGAGAAUCUGUCUAUUAUGCUGCCUUGAUUGGAUAAUUACCAAAAAUUUUCUCUCUUUCCAAUUUCAUGUUGAACACGAUUCCUUCAUUAUUAAAUGAUUUAAUAACCAAAGGUUUAAUGGAGGGGUGUUAUUAAGAACUUGAACUAAAUUGCCUUGUUUUCAAAUAAGUGCAUCAUGAUUUUCAAACCUCUCUUAUCGUUGCUUGUUCCCUUCUUAUGUUCACUCACUGAGUUUGUAAUCACUAUUUUUAACUUUAUGUUUUUAGAUCAGAAAGCAGUCGGAACCUACGUAGAGGUGUUCAUGUAGAUUUGUCUCCUAGGUAGGUAUCUCGGCAUUCAGUAGCUGAACCUCCACCAAGGUUACUCUGCUGGAAGUCAAGAGUCAUUUUGUUUGUGAAUACGUUCAUGUGAUGUAAAGUAUUAAGAUAGGUGUCUUAGACAAGGUAUGUAUAUUGUGAUUGGUAAUGCCACCAUGAGUUGGCAAUGGUUAACAUUAUUUUGGGUUAAUGUGAAAUGCAGUUUUUGAUUGCUAUAGCACAUUAAUUAGGUACUUAUAGAUUGGAAGUAUGAAAGGUGACUUUAAGAAUAGUUGAUGGAAUGAUGAGCAGGAUUAUAUAAAUAGGCUUGCUUGGGCUUGGUGGGCUAUGCCCAUUGGGUCCAUGCACCUGUCAUGGCCUAGAAUUUGGGUCAUGACAAUAUAAAUACCAGGUUUAAGGGGUAAAGAAAUGUGAAUUGGCCUUGAGAAGUUGAGAGAGGGCCGACCACUUAGAGAAGGAAAGAAAGAAGAGAAAGCUUUGAGAAGUUCCACCCUCAAGGAAGAAAAGGAGAAAGAAAAAGAGAGAAAUUAGGGAAAGGCUCGGGUUGUGAGUAUUUAAGUGAAAUCGUGAGGUUUCCAUCCUUUAUCUUGUAAACUAUUCCAUCAACCAAAGAGUCUUCAACAUUCAAGAGGAAAGCCAUGGAGUGUUGAUGGAGGUGUAAAGCUUGAUUUCAAGAUACAAGAGAAAUAAGGUAAGGAUUGUGGUUUUAGUUUGAAUGUUUUCUGAAAAUGAGUUGGUGACUAUAAGGAAUGUUUUGUGGCAGCAAAGAUUGGCUUGAUUGGAAGAGAUUUACUGACAUGUAAGCCAUCAAACCCAUGGAUGCAUGAUAGAUUUAAGUGAAAGAAAAACGAUAAGCAUAAUAAUGUGUUUUAAGGCCUACGGAUGGUAAGAUUUUUUUUGAAGAACUAAUUUGUGAAUCAUGUUGGUAGCUUGGUGAUCGGAGUUUUGGAGGAAUGUAGGAGUGCAUGUGCGAAUCAAGCAACUUUUAAGGUAAAAAUGAAUAAUGCUUUAAGUAUAGUUAAGAGAUCUUGAGGAAAUGGCUUUUGUUGUGUUGAUUGGAAUCUUGAAAGGCAUAUUGUGAAGGAUAAUGGUUAUUGAAAGAAUCUAAAAUGCAUGAGCUAGUUGGAAAUGUUAAGUUUGCUUGUUAUGCUGUUUAAAAGAAAUAAGGAGGAAUAAUGUGAAUAGAGGAUUGAGAAAUAAAGCAUUGAAAGUUAGACAGACAAUUAUGCAUGUAAACUUGGAAAUAAUUGAGUUUGAUUUGGAAUGAUUGUUGUUGCCAUAUAUGUGGUUAAUAUUAUGAAAAUAUAAGAUGGAUUUGGAUGAAAGUUGCUUGGAAAGGUUUAAAUGGGCACUUAAUGUUAUAAAUAAGUUGCCGGUACAUAUAAUAUGAAGGAUUACGCAAGUAAAAGUUAUGAAUUUCUUUGGUAAAAAUAUGUCAAGAUGUAUGCGAAUAUGCAAAGGUUAAGUGAUAAAGAAUGAUGAUUCUAGCAUGAUGUAAGUUAUUAAAAUGAUGAUUAAUGUUUAAAUGAGAUAGAAAAUGGGAUGUGAUAUAAAAGCAUAAAACUAAGAAUGUGGUACAUAAGGCAGCAAAUAUGAAUGAAUUUGUGGUGACAUUCACUAAAUAUAUUGAGUUAACUUGCUGCUAGGAAGUGUACAAGUGAGGAAAGUUUGUUGUGGUGGCAUACCAGGGGUGGUGAUGGGCGACCGGUAAGUAACAUUAGCUAGAGACGCACCUGAACCGAUAGCGACGUAGUGUCCUGCUAUUAUAAGAUGAGUAUGGGGUGUCUAUUUCAAAAGGUCUAUAUUAUAUAUAUUGUUAUACAUUCAAUAAACGUUACUGGUUUUCUUUAAAUGCAAUUAUGGAUAGCAUGAGUUGUUAGCCUUAAUAGGUGAUUUUAAAAUGGAUUUACAAUGAUUUAUACAUUGCUAUUGUGGAAAGCAUGAGCUAGUAGAAACCAUAGGAAAUUGUGGAUGUAAGUUGAUUUAGAAAUUGGUUGUGUAUAAUAUAUUUAUACAUCUAUGUAAAGUGUUUUAGAAAUAAGGAAAUAAGCCUUUUCGCACUAUUUUGCAUCAAAAAUCAAUGCCUUGUAUCUUUGGGUGAUAUGAAUGGUUAAAUGUAUUUGUCAAAAUGGUUUAAAUGCAAACUUUUGAGAGUUGGUUUUAGUCUGAUCUUUAUACAAGUGUUUACACCAUGCCUUUUAAUGUGAAAAGCAAUUUGAAAGGAUAUCGAACCUUGUUUGCAAAUGAUUUAAAGCAAAAUCUCGAAAAACUUGAUUUGGUUUUGAAAAUGGUUUUGACAAAUCGAGAGUGUCGAGAGUAAGCUGAAUGUCACAUUGGGAUAGUGUGACCCUUGUUCACAAGUGAGCUCUAACUAAAGAACCUUUGGGUCGUCGACUAGCUCUUAGACGUGGCUGGGGCCAUAGUUUGUGAUAUAUAUGUGGCGAGGCCACGGGUUGAUAUAUGUGGCUAGGCCACAAGUUGAUAUACGUGGUUACGACCACCUGAUUUCUUCGAUGUCAGCCAACAUCAUCCAAACUGCCAUGGCUGUGGGAAUCUGAGGAGCGGGACUCUGGAAUUGUUAUUGCGUGGAAGUGGGUCCAUGAGUGUAGUACCCUGUAUUUUGAUACAGUGGCUAAUAAAGUUUACGGAUGCCAAUUGGGGUUGAUUACUGAGUUCAAAGGGUAAUUUAGAAGUGAACCCAUGAAAUCUCAACCUCUAUAGACAUGCAACUAGAAGUAGACGCAAUAAUGCGGACCAGGGGUAAUUUCAUAAUUUCUCUUGGUAAGUUCCUACGAGUGGGGUUUUUGAUGUUAUUAAGGUCUAAAUAGGCCUAAGGAAUGAAUAAAUGAUGUAUAAUGAUGAAAACACGAAGAAAACUAGAAGUGAUAAUAAUUUUCACAAUAGGGGCAAAAUAGUCAUUUUGCACCCCGAGUCAAAAUUUUUAAGUUUUCCCAGACUCGAGCAUGUUUAGACUAUUAUGGACCUUGUCUUGGUAUAAAAAGAGUAAAAUGGUUGCACCAAGGAUUAAAGGAGAACAAGUUAAUGUGCGAAGUGCAUUUUCGUAAUUUCAAGUGGAAUGGAUAAGCUUGAGCUAUAAAUAUCUUUUUCUUCUAGCAGCUUCUUCAUUCUUCAGCAGGUUCUUCUCCUUCUUCUUCUUCCAUCUCAUGUUGCUUCCAUCCUCCAUGGAAGCUUGCUUUGCAACUUCCAUAACUUUCUCUGUCUAGCUCCAAAUGUCAUGCCUUUGCCCACUCUUUCAUACGAUUUUUCAUGCUCUUCCACUUUUACACAUUAAAACCGUAAAAAAAAGUCUUUGUUCAGCACUUUCUCUCACUAGUUAAAAGUUUUAGAGAGAGAAAGAGGGAGCUUCCAUAGUAGCUUGACAAUUUUUGGAAAGAAUUUCAAUUAUAAAGCUACUAAGGUGAGUAGUGAACUAUAGUUGAUUUUUAGGUGUUGAGAAUGUCUAGUAAUUAGAAUUGUGAGAGUUUAUUUGUUGGGAUUAUUAUUCAUUUUAGUGUGACUAGAAAAUUGCAAACAAUAGCCAUUUAUUGGUGGUUGGAAACUAGUUAGGAAUGACUAGUAGAACCCAAUUUAGAAAAUAGUUUUGGAAUGGUAUUAAUGCCAAUUUGGGUUGGUUGUGAUGUUGUGUGUGUAUAGGUUCCAAGAAGGCCUCACAUGUUCGUUUAGAGCAUUAGUUGAGGUUAGAGUCAAGCAAAAGAAUCAACAAGACCGGUGAGUGAACUUGAAUUUCAAAAUAUUUUUGGGAAUGUGAAUGUGUUUGCAUAAGACUUUAAAUGAUUUUACCCAACGUUUCUUAAAAAUGGGUGCCUUGGGAACAAGCCCUUGAUAAAUUGUCUUUGUGUUGUUAUAUGUGGCAAUUAUGGACUCAUGCACUACCACAUUAUGUUGAUAUACAUAUAAAUAUAUAUAUAUAUAUAUGAAUAUAUGUUGUACAUGGAUAAAUAAUGUUGUAUGAUGAUAUUGACCCAGCUAUGUGUGAGUAGGAGUGCACAUAAGCCGAUGCUGACUUCGCUAUGUGCGAGUGGGAGUGCGCAUUAGCCGAUGCUGACCCAGCUAUGUGCGAGUAAGGAGUGCGCAUAAGCCGCUGCUGACCUAGCUAUGUUUGAGUAGGGAGUGCACAUGAGCUGAUGAUGAUGGGAGGGUGUGCAUGGAGCUAGAUAUAUACAUAUAUAUAUAUAUAUAUAUGUAAAUGUGUGUGUUAUAGAAAGCUCAUGAAUAUGGUAUACGAUUGUAAUGCAUGUGAAAUUUUGGCAUGUUGAACUUUGGAAAAUUUUAAGCAUUUCAUGUUGAAAUUGGCAUGACGGAUCUUGAGAAUGUCCCAUUUUCUUGUAAAUUGAGUUCAUUGCAACACCAAAUGGAUUUUUUUGUGCAAAGGAGGCCUUUUUUUCACUUAGGUGCCUUGCUUCUUGCUACAGCAAGAAACAUUCUGUUUUGGCAGCAGAAAACUCGCUGCAGCGAAAAUAAAUCUCCCUACAGCGAGAAACUCUCAGGUUUUGAUGCAGUGCCUUCAUUUUGAUGAAGAUUUUGACCACUUUCCCAUUUGAACUGGGAAAAGUGGCAAACAUCAAAGUUGUAUCCCUGCCUCUUCACUUUCUAAUGGUUGAAAAAUAAGGUCAAUUGGACUUUUGUAACGGAAGAUAUACUAGAAAAACUGAAACACAUGCAAACUGAUACUAUUUCUCGCUGCAGGGAGAAACAUUCUGUCCUGCGUGCUACCCUAUUCAAUUUUUGACAUAUUUUUCACCCAUUUAACUUCGUGGAUUGAUCAUGGGUUGUUGCAACACUAUGAGGUUAUUAAUCAAAGUUUGAAAUAAGGGGUUUUUAGUAAGAAAUUAAAUCAAUUGCAUUGUUUUAAAAACAAGUGCAUCAUGAUUUCCAAAUUUUUCCUAUUGAUUGCUUGUUCCCUUCUUAUGUUCACUCACUGAGUUUCGUACUCACAUUUUUAAAAUUCAUGUUUUUAGAUUUAAAGAUAGUUGGGACCUAUAUUGAGUCGCACACAUAUGUUCAUCUUCUUGGUAGGUACUAUGGCAUCUUAGUAGCUGUAUUUUCACCUAGAGUCACUCCACUGAUGGUCUCGAGUCUAUUACUUGUGAACAUGUAUAUGUAAUGUAAACUACUAAGAGUCAUGUUAUAAAUGAAGUAUGUAUAUGUUGGAUUGAUGAUGAUAGUACUUUGAUAUAUUAUAAAUAUGAAUAUUCAGUUGUUAUAAAAUAUUACUGAAACAUUUACUUUUGAGAGUUACAGCACUUCAUUUUAAAGAUGAUGGAUGGGAAUGAUAAUCGGAAUUGCAUAAAUAGGCUUGCUUGGGCUUAGUGGGCUAUACCCAUUAGGCCCAUGGGCCGAUCAUGGCUCGAUAAUUGGGCUGUGACAAUGAGUGAUUACUAUGUUUACCUACUCAAGAGCCUUGAGAGUUUUAGACUCAUACUCUUUUGCAUGGUGGAGAGUUAAUGUUUUCUUCAGCUUCCCUACUUGCUUGCAAGCUUUCAGCGCUUUAUAAGUUGAUUUUGAGUUGAUAUACGUGAAUGCACAUGGUUAUUUUUACAUGCCACACAUUUUGGGAGCGUGUGUGAUUUAUACGACUAUUUUGCUUUUAAACGAAAAGGAUAAUUUCGAGCAUUGAAAAUUAUUUUACUACGCAUUAUUUUCGGCAUUGAUUACCAAGGAAAGUAUUGCAUUAUGAUUUAUAGCAUUAUUUCUACAAGGCAAAAAUACUCUACUUGUGAUUUAAUUUAAUAAGAUUACGUUUUAUAUUCUAGUUUUAUUAUUCAAAUUAUCUACUUUAUGCUUGUUUCCCAUUUACGCCCUGCUCACAAAGCCGAUGAUCACUGAAUCUGUGAGAGUCACCCCCUUAUCUCACUUUUGCAGAUAGUGAUCGACCUAGCGUGCAUUCAUCGUCAUUAUAGUCCACUGCGGAUAGGUAAAGGCAUCUCAUAGUACUUUAUUCCGAGUCACUCCAAUGCUAGAGGUCGAGUCAUUCAUAGCAUAAAUUCAUUGUAAAUAGUGUUAAUGCAAAUGUACAAUUGGGUAUUGACUUUAAUGUAUUUUCACAAUUAUGUGAAAUCAAGGUUAAGUUGACUUAUUACGAUUAUUGUUCAAUACCAUAUUACAAUGAGUUAUACGUCAAAGAGAUUAUAUAAGUUGGUGGGUUCUCCCACAAGGCUCGGACGCCGGUAGCGAUCGAGGAGCUGUUGUUACAGUGUAAAGCAUGGAUUUCAAAAAGUUUCUUUUAUAAAGGAAACAUGUAAUCCCAUUACAGAAAUGGAAAACACAUCAUUCAUAUUGCAAGUAAUAUAAUCACAUCCUAAAAAUAAAAAUCUAAUGAAGUAAGAUAAAAUGUACUUUUUAUUUUGAGAUUCUUAUUUCAAACAUCACCACACCAACGAUUGAUUUCUAGACCAAACAAGUUUACCAUUUAUUCUUCAAGAAUACUUUCAACUUGAGCCUUGAGUGGACAAGGUGUGGAAUGCUCGACUACAAAAUGACAACCAAUUUUGUCUCUCUUUUCUUCCUAAAAAUUAAUAGUUAUUUUUCUUUCAAAAAAUUCAACCAAGAAUGGGAGAGAGGAAGAGAGAUAUGACAAAGUUAGAAGGACAAAGAGAGAAGUGACGAUUGAAACUUUUUCAAGAAAGGUACGUAUGUCUCUUUUCUUCUAAUGUCUUCUCUUUUUAUUAAAACUGUUGAAUCAAAGGUUUAAUCAAAAUCAAAUACCUUUCAAUCAAUCUUGAACAUCCAUUUAGAGUCAUGGAAGCAUCAAACAUGCUCCAUAAUUAUCAAAAUCAAAAUUAAAAAAUUAAUAAUUUAAUUCUUUAAUUGUCAUUUAGAGUCCUUGAUAAAAUAAAACUCCUUGUUGAAUAAUAACUCUUAUUUUAUUAUUAUCCAUCUUUAUAAAAAGAAUUAAUAAUAAAUAAAAAAGUGAUAGUCAAACAUGGAGUCUCUUUUUAUCAACAUAGAUGUCUAGAUUCAUUUUGCAAGAAUCCAACUAGCAUUAUCUUAAUUUAAGACAACUAAUGUCUUCAAUUAAGAUAAAACAUGUUAUCUUGUCUAAAUUGAGACAAAUAUGUUUGCUUGUCUACAUUAAGGCAAAACCUAUUUUGCUGGUCUUAAAUUAAGACAAACAUAUUUUCUUGUCUAAAUUAAGACAAAACAUGUUUUCUUGUCUAAUUAAGACAAAAAUGUUUUUCUUGUCUAAAUGAAGACAGCACAUGUUUUCUUGUCUAAAUUAAGACAACACAUGCUUUCUUGUGUAAAUUAAGACAAACAUGUUUUCUUAUCUAAAUGAAAAUAAAACUUGUUAAAGUUGCCACUUUUGUACACAAUUUAAUAGAUCAAAUAAAACAUGCAUUCCAACUUAAAAAAGUUGAAUUCUAUGAAGCUAAAUGGGGAAUCUAUUUGGGCAUAGAUAUUCCAACUUAGAAUUAUUCUUCAUCUCAUCAAGAUAAUACAAGCUUAUUAACCAUAAAAUCACUUCACCAUAGAUUCAAGGUUGCACUCUUGGAUUAACUAUAAUAGCAAGAAAUGAUUCAAUACUUGACAUUAAUUAUUAGUUGUCCAAUUUCAAACCUUAUAUUGUGAACCCUCAUAAUCAUCCAAUGAAAAAAGGUGAAAUUACUCUAGAUCCAAUCUUUUAAGUAUCCAGAUGUGAUGAGUAGCUAAUUCAUCAAUCCACUAGGCCUAGAUUAAUCACCAAUCUUCCUGAAAUCACUAAAACUGAUGUUAAUGCUAUAAACUCCAUUAUUUGGAUAUAUGUUCCAAGAUGUUCAUCUCGAUUAUAAUCCCAACACCGGAGUCUAGAUCAAUGCUUCAUGAUGAUCAUGCUCAUGGUAUAUCAAAGAUUAUAAGGAGAUUAAACACGAGUCCACUAUCCAUAGGAUUUUAGUUUUACUAUAAGCAAAUGCAUAAGUGUGAGAUCAAGAUUUAAGUAACGGUUUGUGAAACCUUGACCUCCAUAGAUGCGUAACUAGAGGUAGAUUGAUGAGUGCAUGCAAUUCACAAAUUUAAUGGGAGAUUAAAUACCUAAUUAGUCUAAGUUGGACUAGAUUUAGGAUCGAAUUUAGUAUUUUUAUUUAUUUUAUUAGUUUAGUUUAAUUUAUGUUUAAAUGCUUAUUUUAAGUUAAUGAUGUUAGUUUUACAUUAUUUAUAAUUAUUUUAUGUUUUUAUAGGUGUAGGAUCAGAAAUAAUUUCAAUUGGUGAAGAAAGGUGCAUAAUGGACUAUUACUCUAUUUGCAUAUGUUUCGGUUUUUAAAGUAUAUCUCCCACUACAGAAGUCAAAAUGACAUGAUUUUUAAACCAUUAGAAAGAUAAGAGGCAGGGCUACAACUUUAAUGUUUACCACUUUGCCCAGUUUUGAACAGAAUGUGGUUAAAAUCUUUGUCAAAUUUAAAGCACUUCACCAAAAGAAAAAAAAGGGUAUUUUUGUAAAUUAUGUGAAACUUUGAUUGACUUUAGAGAGAAAUAUCUAAAGUUCCAGCACCUUCUUCUUCUUCCACUCGUUUUUUCUCUCCUUUUUGUAGAACUUUUCAUCCUUCAUGGAAAGAAACCUUAAAACCUACAUAACCUUCUCAUACUAACUCUAAAAUCAUGUUUUUGCACACUUUUUCAUAGGGUUUUUUGUUCUCUUUCACUUUUUCACCUCAAAAACCCUCAAAAAAAGUUUUUCCUCUACACUUUUUCUCACUAGCUGAACAUUUUUAGACAGGGAAACUUUUCAAAUUAGCUUGAAAACUAUUCAAGGAGUUUUCCUCUUUUAAUCCUCACUAAGAAAAUUUCAACUAUAAGUCCACCAAGGUGAGAAAUGAGUUAGGGUUGAUUUUAAGUUGUUAAAGAUGACUAUUAAUUAGAUAUGUGGGUUGUUACAUUUUUUAUGCUUAUAUUGUGUGUGAUAGGUUCCAUCGAGGCCGCACAUGUCCAUUUGGAGCAUUAGUUGAAGUUAGAGUCGAUCAAAAGAAUCAACAAGGACAAGUGAGUGAACUUGCACUAAAUUUUUUUUGGAAAAUACAUGUGUUAAGAUGAAGCACUUAAAUGAUUAUAUUUGACUUUUUUUUCUCUAAAUCAUGCAUAGGAACAAGCCCUUGAUGAAACGUUUUAUGUUGUAAAAUGUGUAAUCUGAUGAACCCAUGUGUUCCUAUAUUUUGAUGAUAUAUAUGUUAUGCUUUGAAUGAUAAUAUUGUGUGAUAUUUGUAACUGCGCGUGUGCGAUGUGGGAGUGCACAUGCCGAUGAUGAUGGGUGAUUCCAGCUUUGUGCAUUGUGGGAGUGCACAUGAGUUGAUUACCGGUGGAUGAUGAUUCUAGCUAUAUGCGGUGUGGGAGUGCACAUGAGCUAAUGACCGGUGGAUGAUGAUUCCAGCUAUGUACAGUGUGGGUGUGGACAUGAGCUAAUGACCGAUGGAUGAUGAUUCCAGCUAUGUGUGGUGUGGCAGUGCGCAUGAGCUGAUGAGCUAGUGGUUGUAUACAUUUUUACACAUACCAUAGAAAUGUUAGAGAAAAUAUUAUGUGAUUGCAAUGAAUGUUGAAUGUUGAAAUUGUUAAUUGCUUCCAAAUUAAUUUUUAAUGCAACGAGAAACUCUUAGUCUUGCCUAUCUUGCUUGGAUAUUUGCUGUAGUUUUCACUUGUUUUAACUUUGUUGUUGAUCAUAGAUCCUUCACUCUAAUAGAUUAAAUAAUGAAAGGUUGAAUUAAGGGGCUUUACAAGAAAUUAAGCUAAAUUGCAUUGUUUGUAACAUAAGUGCAUCAUGUUUUCUUCAACUUUUUGUAUCAUUUGCUUGUUCCCUUCCUAUGUUCACUCACUGGGUUUGUACUUACUCUUUUAAACUUCAUGUUUUAAGAGUCGGAGGCAAUUGGGACCUAGAUUAAGGUAUCGAAGUAUAUUCAUCUUUUUGGUAGGUACCAUGGCAUUCAAUAGUUGUACCUUCACCCAAAGUCACUCUGCUGGUAGUCAAGAGUCUUUUGCUUGUGUAUGCGUACGCGUGAUGUAAAUCACUAAGAUUCAUAGUAUAAACAAUAAAUGUAUAUUUUGAUUAUUGGUGCCACUAUGAGUUAACAAUGGGUGAUAUUACUUUGAAUGAUCUAAAUGUAAGUAAUUGAUUGCCAUAGUAUAUCACUGAAUAUUUUUAUACUUGAGAAUUAUGAAAUGUGGUUUUAGGAAUGAUUGUUGAAAUGAUGAUCGGGAUUACAUAAAGAGGCUUGCUUGGGCUUAGUGGGCUAUGCCCAUUAGACCCAUGUGUCGGUGAUGGCCCGAAAAUUAGACUGUGACAAAGUUGGUAUCAGAGCCUUAGGUUGUCUAGGUCCUAGGAUUUUCAUUAUUGGUCCAGCGGAGUAUCGGAUCUUUACGUGCAAACUUCUGUUGUGAACUGUGAACCGCGUCACAUUUUACAACCAAGAAACCGUAUAGAUUCCCUAUUCUAGAAACCACCCUUCCCUUUAGGUAUAAUUGUAACUUGUGUUUAAUAACAAGUGUUUCCUAUUGUCUAGGUAAAAAUGCCACCUAAGACACGAUCCGCCUUAAGAAGGACGAGGGGGCAAGAUGCUCCUAACAAGACGACAGGUAAGCCACGGGCUCCCACUUUAGGGGGUGAGGUAGACAUGGCAAGACGACUAGGUUGGUGAAGGUGAAUACACCUGUGAGUAGACAUGAUGAGGAACAGUCUUUAAGUGAUGCAAAUAGACAUCCAAUUGGGGGCAUUACCAUCGAGGACUUGGUUCCAAGUCUGCAGGGAGUUAAUAAGGUUGUGGAGAUGAUGGCAACCUGUAUGGACCACAUAUAGAGAAUAGUAAAGGGGAGACAUGUAACAUAAGAAUCCCCUAGUUCAUAAGGAUAGGCUGAUCGCCAUCAUUUAGAGGUUGAGAAGGGUCAUGUAGAGGUUUCAGUUCCUGAUUUCCUGAAGCUUAAGCCUUUAUUGUUUACGGGGUCUGAUGCAUCGAAAAAACCCUAGGUUUUCUUAAACAGUAUGGAAAAAUUUGUGAUGCCAUGGGAUGUUCUAGUACUAGAUCAAUUGAGUUAGUCGUUUUUCGAUUAGAGGAUUAUGGCACAAGAGUGGUAUGGCUCCCUGCAUAGAGGUAGGCCGACUGGUGCAACCUCGUUGAUUUGAGAUGAGUUUAGUACAGCGUUCUUGGAUCGAUUCUUACCAAUCAGUGUACGUAAUGCAAGAGCUAGGGAGUUUGAGGCCUUAGUACAGACCCAAGGUAUGACGGUGUCGAAAUACGACAUCAAAUUAACAUAGUUGGCUUAGUAUGCGCCCUAUCUAGUUUCUACUGAGGAGAUGAAGAUUCAAAUAUUUAUGGAUGGGCUAGUGGAGCCAUUGUUUAGGGCUGUAGCAUCCAAGGAUUUGGAAACCUACACCGCAAGCCAUGGAUUGUGCUCAGUAGAUUAAGAUGAGGAGUAGCGAGAGUAGGGCUGUAAGGGAUAGAAUAAAAAGAGCCAAGAUAGAGGGCCAUCAGGGUCUAAGAGACUUUAGUAAUGACAUUUCAUCUUUUAACGAUUAGGGCCCACACUAGAACUCAUGGUUACCCCAACAGGGGAGUGGCUCGCCUAGUGCCAGUAUUACGGUGGGAUAGAAGACCUUCGGUGUUGUGAGAUAGAAAGAUUUAAGGUAGGGUGGCCAGGUUAUCAAUCAUUGCAAUAUUUGUGGAGUACGACAUAGAGGAUGAUGUGUCCGAGCUACAGGGGUUUGCUAUACAUGUGGUGAGCUUGGACAUAUUAGGAGGAAUUGCUCAAGGGCUCAUUAAUCACAAGGUUCUGCUCGCGGCUCUACCCAGCUAGCUUCGUCUGCUCCUUCAACAAUUGCUUCACCUAACUAGGAGGCUAGCGGGUUGAGACAUAGAGGUGUUGUUACUUCCUCUUAGAGCAAGCCGUCUGGGUCUAGACAUCGGAGUUCUGUUGGUAGGGGCCACGCUAGGGUGGAUGCUCUGACACCUUAGGAGGCCCAAACGUCCAAUGCAGUGGUGUCAAGUACUUUUCUAUUUGUGAUAUGAAUGCUCGUAUUGUUUGAUCCUAGUUCUACCCACUCUUUCAUUUUUCCAUGUUUUGCACCUCGACUGGGUAAAGAUCGUGUUAUGAGAUAAUAACAAUAAGUGGUGUCUACCCCUUUAAGGGAGGUAUUUGUAGCAGAAUGGGAAUAUAUGUCCUAUGUAGUUUGGGGUCAAGGACAAAGACACUUUGGUCAAUCUAGUGGUAUUAAACGCCUUAGAUUUUGAUGUGAUUUCGAGAAUGGAUUGGUUGUCGCCCUACCAUGCCAGUGUGGAUUGUUAGCAUAAAUCAGUUGAUUUGAUUUUCCAAGAUAGCCAUCAUUUAGUAUUCAAGGGGAUAGAAGCAAUGCUCCAACCAAUUGACAUCUACCAUGUCUACUAAAAGGCUAUUAAGAUAGGGUUGUCCGGGUUAUUUAGCUAUUGUGAGAGAUACCUAAGCGAAGGUCGAGGAUAUAAACCAAGUAUCAAUAGUGAAUGAGUUUAUAGAUGUAUUUCCAUAUGACCUACCAAGUUUGCCUCCUGAACGAGAGAUUGAAUUUGUAUAGACUUAAUUCCCAACACUAGACCCAUAUCCAUACCCCCAUAUUGAAUGGCACUUGCGAAGCUUAAGGAACUUAAGGAUCAGUUAGAAGAUUUGUUAGAUAAAGGCUUCAUCUGCCCCAAUGUCUCACCAUGGGGAGCACCGGUGCUAUUUGUAAAGAAGACAGAUGGGUCACUUAGAUUGUGUAUUGACUACCGAUAGCUUAAUAAAGUGACGGUGAAGAAUAAGUAAUCUCUUCCAAGAAUAGAUUUAUUUGACCAACUACAAGGAGCACAAUGUUUCUCUAAGAUAGAUCUGCAAUUUAGGUACCAUCAAUUAAGGAUUAGGAAUGAAGACAUACCAAAGACUGCAUUUCGAACAAGAUAUAGGCACUAUGAGAUUUUAGUGAUGUCAUUUAGGCUUACGAAUGCCCCUGCGACCUUUAAGGAUUUAAUGAACUGAGUGUUCAAACCUUAUUUGGACAAGUUUGUGGUGGUAUUUAUAGAUGACAUUUUGAUAUACUAAAAGAGUCGGGCAGAACAUGAGCAACACCUUAAGAUAAUGCUCUAAACUUUGAGAGAACAUCAGUGUAUGCCAAGUUCUCCAAGUGUAAGUUCUGGCUCGAAAGUGUUGCCUUUUUAGGACAUAUGGUCUCUAAGGAUGGGGUACAAGUCGAUCCAAAGAAAGUUGAGGUAGUGGAAAAGUGGCCAAGGCCAACUUUGGUUCUGAAGAUUAGGAGCCUUUUGGGUUUGGCCAACUACUACUGUCGUUUUGUGAAAAAUUUCUCCAAAAUAGCUGCACCUUUGACUAAGCUGACACAUAAGGAUACAAAAUUUGAGUGGUCAGAUGCUUGUGAGGAUAGCUUUGAGAAGCUUAACGUUUGUCUCACCACUGCUCCAGCAUUAAGCCUACCGCAAGGCACAAGGGGUUAUACAGUAUUUUGUUAUGCAUCACGAAUUAGUUUAGGUUGUGUAUUAAUGCAACAUAGGAAGGUGAUUGCAUAUGCAUCGAGACAACUUAAAAGGCAUGAGCAAAAUUACCGCAUGCACGAUUUGGAGAUGACAGCAAUCGCGUUUGCCUUAAAGAUUUGGAGACAUUAUUUGUAUGGUGAGACUUGCGAGAGAUAUACAGACCACAAGAGCUUAAAAUAUAUAUUUUAGUAGAGGGAUCUUAACUUGUGACAACAUAGGUGGAUGGAGCUGCUUAAGGAUUAUGGUUGUACUAUUCUCUAUCUUCCCAGUAAGGCUAAUGUAGUGGCGAAUGCCUUAAGUCGAAAGUCAAUAAGGAGUUUGGCACAUAUAUCUAUCGAUAUGAGAUCCUUGAUUUGGGAAAUGCAGGGUUUAGGAGAUAUGGGUGUGCAUUUUGAAGUUUCAGAGACAAAUGCAUUGUUAGCACAUUAUAGAGUUAGACCUAUCUUAAUAGACCGGAUUAGAGAAGCCCAAAAUAAAGAUGAGUUCGUAACUAAGGCCUUGGAGGACCUUUAAAGAGGGAAAGGAAAAAUGUUUACUAAAGGCACAGAUGGAGUAUUGAGGUAUGGGACCAGACUUUAUGUGCCCAAUAGUGAUGGAUUGACGAGAGAAAUACUAGAUGAGGCACAUAUGGCAGCAUACAUGGUACAUCUAGGAGCUACAAAGAUGUACCAAGAUUUGAGGGAAGUAUACUGGUGGGAAGGACUUAAGAAAGACGUAGCUGAGUUUGUUUCUAAGUGCCUAGUUUGUCAAUAGGUUAAGGCAGAGCACCAAAGGCCCGCAAGGCUACUACAACCAUUGUUGGUGCCCUAAUGGAAGUGGGAGCAUGUUGCAAUGGACUUUGUAAAGGGCCUACCUCGAACUAGUAAGGGUUACGACUUGAUUUGGAUUAUAGUAGACCGGUUAACGAAGUUAGCUUAUUUUUUUCGGUUAAAACUACAAACGGGGCUGCCUAGUAUGCUCGAGUUUAUGUCGACGAGAUAGUACAACUGCAUGGUAUUCCUAUUUCUAUAGUAUCUGACAGAGGGACACAGUUCAUCAGUAGGUUCUAGGGAAAGUUGCAGGAAACAUUGGGCACUAAGUUGGAUUUCAGUACAACUUUUCACCCUUAGAUUGAUGGACAGUCUGAACGAACAAUACAAAUAUUGGAAGAUAUGCUGAGAGCAUGUGUAAUAAACCUUAGGGUUAGAUAGGAUUGGUAUCUACACUUAGUCCAGUGUUGCUUACAAGAAUAACUUCCAAGCUAACAUCCAAAUGGCACCAUUUGAGGUAUUAUAUAGACGGAGGUGCAGGUCACCCAUUGGGUGGCUAGAGGUGGGAGAAAGAAAACUCUUGGGGCCAGAAUUGGUAUAGGAUGCCACUGAGAAGAUAGAAAUGAUUGGUUAGAGGAUGUUAUCAGUGAAAAGUAGACAAAAGUCAUAUGCUGAUAAUAGAUGGAAAGACUUGGAGUUUCGAGUGAGGGAUCAUGUAUUUUUGAAGGUUUAACCAACAAAAGGGGUAAUGAGGUUCGGUAAGAAAGGAAAAUUAAGUCCUCUGUAUGUAGGACCUUCGAGAUCUUAGAAAAGAUUAGAACAAUAGCAUACCGUUUGGUAUUAUCAUCGGACCUCUUGAAUAUCCUUCAAGUAUUUCAUGUGUCGAUGCUAAGGAAGUAUAACCCAGAUCCAUCUCAUGUAAUACAAUAUGAAACCAUUCAGUUAAGAGAUGAUUUAACAUAUGAGGAGCAACCAGUUGCUAUCCUUGAUAGGCAAGUCAAAAAGCUCCAUUCAAAGGAUGUAGCCUUAAUGAAAGUGUUAUGGAGAAACCACACUAGUGAAGAGGAAACGUGGGAAGCUGAAGAGGAGAUGCGGACAAAGUAUCCUCCUCUUUAAUACAUAGAGGUAUGCAACCUUAUAGUUGGAUUUAAAUUCGGGGAUUGAAUUUUCUUUUAAUAGGGGAGAAUGUGAAACCUCGACCUCCACGAAAACAUAACUAGAGGUAGACUGAUGAGUGCAUCAAAUUAACAUAUUUAAUGGGAGAUUAAAUACCUAAUUAGUCUAAGUUGGACUAGAUUUAGGAUCGAAUUUAGGUAUUUUUAUUUAUUUUAUUAGUUUAGUUUAAUUUAUGUUUAAAUGUUUAUUUUAAGUUAAUGAUGUUAGUUUGACAUUAUUUAUAAUUAUUUUAUGUUUAUAGAAGUAGGAUAAAAUAUAACUUCAAUUGGUGAAGAAAAGUGCAUAAUGGACUAUUGCUCUAUUUGCAUAUGUUUUGAUUUUUUAAGCAUAUCUCCCACUACAAAAGUCCAAAUGACAUUAGUUUUAGACCAUUAGAAAUCUAAUAGGCAGGGCUACAACUUUGAUGUUCACCACUUUGCCCAAUUUUGACCAAAAAGUGGUCAAAAUCUUUGUCAAAGUGAAAGCAUUGCACUUGAAGAACAAAAAAGGUCAUUUUCGUAAAUUACGUGAAACUUUGAUUGACUUUAGAGAUAAAUAUCUAAAGUUCUAGCACCUUCUUCAUCUUCUUCUCAUUUCUUCUCUCCUUUUUGUAGAACUUUUCAUCCUGCAUGGAAAGAAACCUUAAAACCUCCAUAACCUUCUCAUACUAACUCCAAAAUUCAUGCUUUUGCACACUUUUUCGUAGAGUUUUUCGUUCUCUUUCACUUUUUCACCUUAAAAACCCUCAAAAAAUGUUUUUCCUCUGCACUUUCUCUCGCUAGCUGAACAUUUUUAGAGAGGGAAACUCUUUGAAUUAGCUUGAAAACUCUUGAAGGAGUUUUCCCCUUUUAAUCCUCACUAAGGAAAUUCAACCACAAGUCCACCAAGGUGAGAAAUAAGUUAGGGUUGAUUUUAAGUUGUUAAAGAUGGCUAAUAAUUAGAUUUGUGGGCUAUUACAUUUUUUAUGGUUAUAUUGUGUGUGAUAGGUUCCAACGAGGCCCCACAUGUCCAUUUGGAGCAUUACUUUAAGUUAGAGUCGAUCAAAAGAAUCAAUAAGGACAAAUGAGUGAAAUACAUAUGUGUUGAUAUGAAGCACUUAAAUGAUUAUAUUUGACUUUUUUUCUCUAAAUCAUGCCUGGGAACAAGCCCUUGAUGAAACGUUUUAUGUUGUAAAAUGUGUAAUGUGAUGAACCCAUAUGUUCCUAUAUUCGGAUGAUAUAUAUGUUAUGCUUUGAAUGAUAAUAUUGUGUGAUAAUUGUAACCGCGCGUGAGCGGUGUCGGACUGCAUAUGCCGGUGAUGACAGGUGAUUCCAGCUAUAUGCGUUGUGGGAGUGCACAUGAGCUGAUGAUCGGUGGAUGAUGAUUCUAGCUAUGUGCGGUGUAGGAGUGCAAAUGAGUUGAUGACCGAUGGAUGAUGACUCUAGCUAUGUGCGGUGUUGGAGUGCACAUGAGCUGAUGACCCGUGGAUGAUGAUUCCAGCUGCGUGCGGUGUGGGAGUGCACAUGAGCUGAUGAGCCGAUGGUUGUAUACGUGUUGACACAUACCAUAGAUAUGUUAGAGAAAAUAUUAUGUGAUUGCAAUGAAUGUUGAAUGUUGAAAUUGUUAAUUGCUUCCAAAUUGAUUUUCAAUGCAAGAAGAAACUCUUUGUCUUGCCUGUCUUGCUUGGAUAUUUGCUGUAGUUUUCACUCUUUUCAACUUUGUUGUUGAUCAUAGAUCCUUCACUUUAAGGGAUUAAAUAACCAAAGGUUGAAUCAAAGGGCUUUACAAUAAAUUAAACUAAAUUGCAUAGUUUUUAACAUAAGUGCAUCAUGUUUUCUACAACUUUUCAUAUUGUUUGCUUGUUCCCUUCCUAUGUUCACUCACUGAGUUUGUACUCACUCUUUUAAACUUCAUGUUUUCAGAGUCAGAGGCAGUUGGGACCUAGAUUGAGGUGUCUAUGUAUAUUCAUCUUUUUGGUAGGUACCAUGGCAUUCAGUAGUUGUACCUUCACCCAAAGUCACUCCGCUAGUAGUCAAGAGUCUUUUGCCUGUGUAUGCGUGCACGUGAUGUAAAUCACUAAGAUUCAUAGUAUAAACAAUAUAUGUAUAUUUUGAUUGAUGAUGCCACUAUGAGUUGACAAUGGGUGAUAUUAUUUUAGAUUAUCUAAAUGUAAGUAUUUGAUUGCCAUAGUAGAUCACUGAAUAUUUUUAUAGUUGAGAAUUACGAAAUGUGACUUUAGAAACGAUUGUUGAAAUGAUGAUCAAGAUUACAUAAAGAGGCUUGCUUAGGCUUAAUGGGCUAUGCCCAUUGGGCCCAUGCGCCGGUCAUGGCUCCAAAACUGGGUAGUGACAUGGUUUAACUUAAAUUUGAUUCUCACCAUAUCCCAAUUUAUGUUAUAGUGUCAUUACUCAAAGUCAACCAUUUAGAUGAUUUGAGACUCAUCAAUCCCUUGAAGUGAAUCACAUUUGUUUUGUUGGAAGUAAUAUGGACACUAUAGCCUUAACACAAUAAAGUGACUAGCUUUGUUAAAUGGUUGUGAACAAUUUUUAGAUUCAAUUAAAAUGCAUGUCUCCUAUAUAUGACGCUUCAUACCAAUGUAUUUUAAUAUCUUAAUAUAAUCAUGGUACCUUAAUAACUAGAUAAUGAAUGCUUACUUAUAACAAACUCUUCGUCUUAUUAUCAAAAUGUAUAUUCAUUACAAAUAAAUUAAGUGAAAUUAAACAUGAGAAUAUACUUGCUUUCUAAGGUACCAAAUUCUCAAAAUUCCUAACAAAAUUCCAUUUACCUUAUGAGAUGAGUAAGCAUGUAUGUGAUAGACAUUCCAACAUACUAAAUGCUAUAAGUUCAAAAGAUUAAUGAGUGUGAUUGAUUCCACUCACACGGGGUGUAGUGACAACUUCACUUUUAUGACGCAUCAUAAAUGCCCAAGGUGCAAUAAGGUUGUACAUUGCUGGUCCAAGGUUGAUGGGGGUUGUACCAUCAAAAUGUGUCAGUUUAAUGUUAAUAGAAUGAUCAUGAUUGUUAUCCUUAUGAUAUGUUGCAUGUUAAGUUCAUCUUAAAUAAUGUUAUCAAGUUAUUCUCUAUGUUCCCAUGAGAAUGCGUUUUGAGAAAUGAAAUGAGCCAUUGAGAUAGUCUUAAGUGGUAAGGGGACUCAAGGAAUGGCAAAAAUACAAAAUUUCAUCCAAAAAACAGAGUUUCAUAGGCUAUCUAUCAAUACAUGUAGAACAUCUAUCAAUAGAUAGUAGACAUAAUACAACAAGAAGUAUUUUGUUUCAACUCUAUAGAUAGAUAUUCAUCAUCUAUCGAUAGAUGAGUUCUAGAAUUAUAUGUAUUGGCAUGUUUGAAAGCUUUUCAAAGGUAAAAAGUUUUUCCAAUGGUUAUUCACACUUGUUUACAUCAGAUAUGCUAUUUUAAACGUGUUUAAACACCAUGUUUCAAGAGAUUAAGUUUAAAUUGUUCAUAAUUAUAAGUGCAUGUUUUCAAAAUACUCUUAUCCCCCAACUUGUCCCCUUCCCAUAUCCACUAACAAAGUCUUUGUGUCACAGCCCAAAUCCCGAGCCAUGACCGGAGCAAGGGCCUAAUAGGCACAGCCCACUAGACCCAAGCAAGCCUUUCUAUAUGAACUUGUACAUUAGCCCAUCUAUCAUCCAUAUUUCUUUAAAAUCUAUAAUUAAUAAUAUUCAAAUAUAAUUUCUUUGAAAACAAUUCAUAAAACCCAAGUAUUUACUCAUAGUGGCAUCAUUGAUCAUAAUAUACUUUGAUAGUCUGACAAAUGAAUCUUAGCAAUUCACAUUAAGUAUACAUAAACACAUACAGUGAUCCUGAUAGUCAGCAAAGUGACUCUUGGCGUGGGUGCUAACAUUUAGUGGCAUGGUGAACCUAUUGAAAGAUGAAUAGAAGGGAGCACCUAGACCUAAGAUCCAACUACCUUCAAUCCUAAAACUAAAACAUGAAUUUGAAAAGAAUGAGUAUAAACUCAGUGAGUGAACAUAGGAAGGGAACAAGCAGCCAAUAUUGAAAGUUUUUGAAAACAUGAUGCACUUGUUUUGAAAACAAUGCAAUUUUGUAUACCAUAAACAAAACUUUAUGCCAUGUUGUCUUUUAACUCGUUUAAAACAUUUCAGAAAAUCAACAUUCAACAUUCAAUACAAUCACAUAAUAUUUCCUUAACUUUUUCAUAGCAUAUAUAAACAUACAUUCAACUACAGGUCAUCAGCUCUUGUGCACUCCCUACACGCACAAGGCAAUAUCAUCAUGUGCACUCCCUACACGCACAUUUCAAUAUCAUCAUGUGCACUCCCUACAUGCACAUUUCAAUACCAUCACAUGCACUCCCGCCCACAUCAUCACCAGCACCAUCAUGUGCACUCCCACACCACAAACGCACGGUUAUAUUAAUCAAUCAACAUUACCUUUCAAAGAAUAACGCACAUAUCAACACAUAACAAAAUCUUUGCAUAGUACUAUUUCUCACAUAAUUCAUUAUUUUACUAGUCAUAAACAUAGUUGCACAAUCCAACACUCAAAAAGAAUAACAUUAUUCAUUUUGCCAAUAAUUUAGGACAUCUCUAGAUUUCCAAUACACACAUGCCACAAAUCAAUUGGCAAAUCAACAUAACAUUCCAAGUACAUAACUCAGCACAUUAUUUAUUCAACCACGUAAAAGAAUUACUUAAGAAAAGCUUGUUCCCGUGCAUAAUUUUAAAAGAAAUCAACCAAGGAUAUUCAAAUAUUUUAUUCAAACACAUGCAUUUGUUCAAAGCAUUUUAAAUGCAAGUUUACUAACCUUCACGAUGCCACUGAACAAAAUCUUAAUCCAGGUAGUCUUGAAAUACCGUUAAAACCUAUAUUUAGCAAUAAGCCAUAACAACCUCCAUCAAGUCAUAAUUUGAAUUUAACAAUUCUAAUAAGUAUACACUAUACAAUCUACACUCUAACUAUCAUGACCCAAAUCCCGGCCAUGACUGGCGCAAGGGCUCAAUGGACAUAGCCCACUAAGCCUAAGCAAGCCUAUUAAUAUGACCUAUUCAUCGUUCCAUCAAAGUUGCUAAAUCACAUUUCAUAACUUCGAAUUAAAAUAAUACUAAACAUUGCCAACUCGUAGUGGCAUUACUAAUCAAAGAUACAUGUAUUAUCUAAACAUACGUCUUAAUAAUUUACAUUGGGUUUGUCUACACACAACAAAAAGAGUACUCAACUUCUAGCGGAGAGACUUGAAGAAAUGUACAAGUACUGAAUGCCGAGACACCUACCAAGGGUCAAAUAUACGAAGACACCUCGACCUAGUUACCAACUGCUUCUUGAUCUGAAAACAUGCAGUUGAAAAUGGUGAGUAUAAACCCAGUGAGUGAAUAAGGAAGGGAACAAGCAAUAUAAUAAGGAAAAGUUUGAAAUCAUAAUGCAUUUAUUUGAAAAUGAUGCCCUUUAGCUUAAGUCCUUAUUAAAACCCUUAAUUGAACCCUUGGUUGAUAAAUCGUGUGAUGCUAAAGAAUUCAUAUUCAACAUGAAAUUGGAGAAGUGGAAAAUAUGGUAAAAACCAACCAAGUGAUAAGCGGCACAGAAAGUUUCAUUCUCACUGCAGCGAGAAACAGAGCAACAAGAAAGACUUCCUUUCAUCCCAAAUAAACCAUUUCACUGCAAUGCAAAUCAAUUUGGAACACUAUAAAAAAUGCUCAAGGUUCAGCAAGCAGGAUUCCACAUACAUUAUAGUCACACAUGUGCAAACAUAUCUGUAUAUAUAUAUAUAUAUAUCCAUCACCAAGCACACUCUCCCAUCGUCAUCAGGUCAUGUGCACUCCCCACUAACACAUGGCUGGGUCAGCAUCGGCUUAUGCACACUCCUACUCGCACAUAGCCGGGUCCACAUCAACAAACAAAAGAAACACCCAAUGCAUAUUAUACAUAUCAUCAUAUUGUGAUAACACAUAAACCAUUUAUAUAGCACAUUUUCACAAGAUAAAAACACUUCAUCAAAGGCUUGUUCCAAAGGUACAUUUUUAAAGAAAAGCUGGAUAAAAUCUUUCAAAUGUUUGUACAAUUACCUUCACAUUCCCAAAACAAAUUUUGAAAUGCAAGUCUACUCACUUGUCUUUGUUAAUUCUUAAAGUAACUCUAAAUUCCACUAAUGCCCCGAAUGGUGAUAUAGGGUUUCGGUGGAACCUAUCACACAUUAGCAUCAUAAUUAACUCAAUCACAUAACCAUAAUUCUGAAAGUUGUCUCCUAAAUCAUGUUCCACUAGUUAUUCCUAACUAGCUUCCAACUACCAUUAAGUGGCUAAUUAUUUGCACUAUUAUAAUCACACCAAAAUGAAUAAACUACCUCAACUACAAAACACUCAUAAAUCUAACUAUUAAUCAUUCUCAACAACUAAAAUAUCAACUCAAUUUAAAUUCUCACCUUGCUAGAUUUGCAAUUGAGUAUUUCCUUAAGAAUUCCCAAACUAUUAUAAAAGGUCUUUCUUUCUUUCUCUAAAACCCUAGUUAGUGAGAGAAAGUAUUGAUCUAAGACAUUUCAAGGGUUUUAAGGUGAAAGAGUGAAAGAGCAUAAGAGGUUUUAUAAAAAAAAUGCACAAAAGAAUGAAAAUGAAGGCUAACUUGAAAGGGUUAUGGAAGCUUGAAGAGUGCUCCCAUGGAAGGUGAAGAAAUGUGGGAUGGGAGGAAGAAUAAGAAGAUGAAGUGUUGGAAAUCUGAGGAAGGUGCAGGAGAAUGAAGAUAUUUAUAGUUAAAACUUAUCCAAUUGUUCAUGAAAUUACAAUAAUGCCCUUAGCAAUGCCACUUGUCUUCUUAUUGUUCUUAUGCAAGCUUUUACUCUUUUAACACUAGGAAAAGGUCCAAAAUCCUCUGAAAGAGGUCCCUUAAGUAGCCCCCAAAAGUCCUAGCUUCAAAAACCCCAAAAUCUUGUUAUUUGUAGAAUUUACGGUGAGGGCCGCGGCUCUCUAUUUCUUGUGCCGUGGCGCUCAAACAUUCUACCAAUUUAUGUUCUUCUAGCGCAUUCCUUUCACUUCAACAAAGAUUUUGACCACCUUUCCGCCAAAACUGGGAAAAGUGGUAAACAUAAAAGUUGUAGCCUUGCCUCUUAGCUUUCUAAUGGUUUAAAAAUCAUGUCAUUUGGACUUCCGUAAUGGGAGAUAUACUUAAAAAAAUGAAAGAUAUGCAAUAGGGCUACUGUUCAUUAUGCACCUUUCUACACCAAUUAAAAUUAUUUUUGAUCUUACUCCUAUAACGACAUAAAAUAAUUAUAAUUAAUGUAAAACUGGCAUCAUUAGCUCAAAUUAAACCUUUAAACAUAAGUUCCACCUCGAGUUUCGCGUCUAUGAAGGUCGAGGUUUCACACUAACCCAACUUUUAACCUAGAAUUCUAGUCUAAUUCACAAACCCAUUAAACUAAUUGUUCAAGUUUGAAGUUUCUUUACCUUGGUGCUUGAAGGUAUAAAAAUCAACCCAACCUAGCAAAUUUCAAGAAAAGGAAAUUUGAAGAAACUUAGAAAAUAAAGUCUAAAAAUUACAAACCCAUAAAUUCAAAAAUUCAAGGGUUGAAAAUAUAUAUCUUUUAGCCUUAAAAUGAAGAUUUGAAGCCAAAAUCCAAGUGUUGUUGAAAGUUGAGUAGAAAUUGAAAAUAAAAGAAAGGAAGAGAAAUUUUCCUUUCUCUCUCCUAAGGUUUAUAUGUGCUGGAAAUUGGGGUUAAAAGCUAUAGGUUUAGUGCCCAAGAAGUUAGGAGAAGAAAGAAGUAAGAAGAGAAAGGAAAGGAAAAGAAAACAAGGAAAGAAAAUGAAAAAACUUGAUUCUUUUGGUGAAGCAUGCAAAUGGCGUUGGCAUGGAUGAGGAAGAAAAAGAAAAUAUCUUGGUGGAGAGGAUAAGGACCAAGUUAAUGGCAAAAUUACCAUUUUGACCUCCAAGGUUCUUCACUUUUUUAUUUAGUCCUCCCAACAUUCUUUUAAAUCCAAUUUCCUUAUAUUAUCUUCUUUUACACAUGUACAAAUGAAAUAUAAAGUUUGUAUCCCAACACGGUGUCACCAUAAUAUUUAAAAUAUAUUUUUACCUGAGUUAGUUUUAUUUAAUAACAACGCGUAGGCUCCACUAACUUCAUUUUUCUUUGGAAUUUUCUCUUUCUUCCUCUCCCUCACUUAGAUUGACCAUAUACUCCUCCUUCAUGAAAAAUUUCGACACCGAUUUAAAAUAUUAAUAUUUUAAUAUUAUUUUAUUAAUUAAAUAUUAUUUUGUUCUAAAAUUUUCCAUUUGUCUCCAUGGUACCCAAAAUACCUUAUUACGCUUCAAUUCACUUCCGAAUCACUUUUUAUCUCACAAAUUAUUCUUUGAUAAAAAUAUUAUUAUUUUAUUAUUAUUUCCUCGAGUGUGAAAUAUUUUAUCUUAAAAUACUCUUUUCACCUUUCAUCACUUUUAAACAUUCCAAUCAACCUCAAUUAGCAUCCGAUAAGCUUUAUUAGCUACCAUAUCAAAAUAUGGAAUAUUACAAUCUCCCCGACUUAAAUAGAAUUCGUCCUCGAAUUCUCUUUAACAUGGGGUCGUUAAUCUCACUCAAUGAUCACAUUCCAUUUCCUUCUUCAUAGGAAAUUUGAUUUACGCACCUCGUUAUCUUCAAUUUGACUAGAACACUUUACAAGGUUAGGGUACGUAACUUAUAUCUAUUAUCAUCUUUGAGUCAAAACCACGGUACCCUUUUCAAUUGUUCUUUCUUAUCAAUAAGAUCCCAAGUAUGCCUUUAAUUCCAUCACUAACCUCAAACAUAUCUUUAUUUCGAUUCUUGUCAAGCCUCUAGUCAUUCAUUCACCUCGUUUACCCCUAGUUCGACUAGAGUGCUUCACUUAUGUCUGUUAUCAUCCUUUAGAAUCAAAUUGGCGGUACCUUUCAUGAUCAUUAUCUCUUAUUUUAAGACAUUGAGUAUGUCGUUAUCACCAUCAUUAAAUUUGAACCAUAACUCCAUCUUAAUCAUACCGAUUUCAAUCACAUUUUAUACUCACUUAUGUAUACCAAUCACCAUCUUAUUACUUCAUUCCUUGUCAAACUUCUUGACAUUCAUUCAUUCAUCCUAUCCUCAUACACUAUUAUGUAGCUUACAGCAUCAUUAACAUGCCAUAUUCAUUCCUGUACAUAUUCCCAAUGUUGGGGGAGGUUAAUGGCUUCAAUUAUUCCCACAUACUCAUGUACCUUGCAUUUCUGCAACUUCAAUCUUCUUAAUCAUAUUUGUCCAUCUUGUAUGGCUUAACCACGUUAUAGAUUACAUUUCCUUGGUAUCAUUUCUUUGACUAUUUCUCCAAAAUUUCUUAUAUCAACAUAGCUCAACUUCUGAUGGGAUUUCUUAUCAUUGCACUAUCUAGACAACUCAUCAAAUAUUGAGUUCAAAGAUCGAAUCACUAAGAACAUGUGAAACCUCAACCCCUAUAGGCUCAUAACUACGCAUAAACGCAAUAACACGGGUCAAGGGUAGUUUCAUAAUUUCUUUUAAAAAAAAAGCUCCCAGAAUAAGGUUUUAUGAUAUUUUAAGGUCUAAAUAGGCAUAAGACCGAAUAAAUAAUGUGUAAUGAUGAAAACACGAAGAAAACUAUAAGUUUCAAUAAUUUUCACCACAAGGGCAAAAUGGCCAUUUUUCACCUUGGGUCAAAAUUUUUAAGUUUCGUAAACCCGAGCAUGUGUAGACCAUUAUGGACUUGUUUUAGUAUCAAAAGAGUUAAAAAAUUCCACAAAGGAUUAGAGAAGAACAAAUUAACUUGCAAAAGGGUAUUUUCGUAAUUUCAAAGGGAAUGGAUAAGCUUGACCUAUAAAUACUUUUCUUCUAGUAGCUUCCUCAUUGUCCAACAGCUUUUCUUCUUCUUCCUUCUUCCCUCUCACAUUUCUUCAUCCUCCAUGGAAGCAUGGUAUGAAAACUUCAUAAAUUUCUCUCUCUAGCUCCAAAUUUCAUGCUUUUACCCACUCUUUCAUACGAUUUUUCAUGCUCUUCCACUUUUACACCUUAAAACCCUCAAAAAGUCCUUGUUCAGCACUUUCUUUCACUAGUUGGAGGUUUUAGAGAGAGAAAGAGAGAUUUUCCACAUUUGUUUAGAAGCUAUUGGAAAAGAAUUCAACUACAAAGAAACCCUAAGGUGAGUGAUGAACUAGGCUUAGUUUUAAGUUGUUGAUAAUGGCUAGUAAUUGGGAUUAUGAGCUGUUUUAUUGUUGAGUUUUUUACUCAUUUUUAGUGUGAUUAGAGUAGUGCAAGGAAUAGCCAUUUGCUAUAGUUGGAAGCCAAUUAGGAAUGACUAAAAGAAUUUGAAUUAGAAACUAGCUUUCGUAGUGAUAUUAAUGUAAAUUGGAUAGGUUGUGAUGUUGUAUGUGUAUAGGUUCCAACAAGGCCUCACUUGCCCAUUUGAACCAUUAGUGAAGGUUAGAGUCGAUUAGAGGUUCAGCAAUACCAAUGAGUGAACUUGCAUUUCAAAGUAUUUUUGGAAAUGUGAAUGUGUUUGCACAAGACUUUAAAUGAUUUUACCCAACUUUUCUUAAAACAAGUGCCUUGGGAACAAGCUUUUACUAAGUAGUUUUAUGUUGUGAUAUGUGGUUGUUAUGGAUUCAUGCACUAUUGCAUUAUGAUGAUAUAUAUAUAUAUGUUAUGCAUGAUUGUUGAUAUUGUGUAUGAUGAUUAUAACCGUGUGUGUGCACGAUGUGGGGGGAUACACAUGCCAGUGAUGGUGGUGUGGGAGAUGGAUGAUGAUAGUGCCUGUGUACACGAUGUGGGGGGAUGUACACGAUGGCACUGAUUGUGCACGAUGUGGGGGGAUGCACACGAUGGCGUCUGCUAUGUGCAUGAUGUGGGGGGAUGCACAUGACCUGGGUGUGAUUAUGAUGAUAUUGAUGUUUAUCUAUGUAUUUAUGCAUAUCUAUGCUUAUGAAAUGAAAGUUCAUGAAUAUGAUAUAUGAUUGAAAUGCAUGCGAAAUUGGCAUGAUGAAUCUUGAGAAUGUCGCAUUUCCUUGCAAAUUGAGCUCAUGGCAACACCAAAUGGAUUUUUAGUGCAAAUGAGGCCCUUUUUACACUUAGGUGCCCUGCUUCUAGCUGUAGCGAGAAACAUUCUGUUUUGGUAGCAGAAAACUCGCUGCAGCGAAAAUAAAUCUCGCUAUAGCGAGAAACUCUCAGGUUUUGAUGCAGUGCCUUUAUUUUGAUAAAGAUUUUUACCACUUUUCCAUUUGAAUUGGGAAAAGUAGUAAACAUCAAAGUUGUAGCCCUACAUCUUAGCUUUCUAAUGGUUUAAAAUUCAGGUCAAUUGGACUUCUGUAACGGAAGAUAUUCUAGAAAAACUGAAACAGAUGCAAACUAGUAUUGUUUCUCGCUACAGCAAGAAUGAACUUUGCUGUAGCGAGAAACAUUCUGUCCUACAUGCUACCCUAUUCGGUUUUUGACUUAUUUUUCACCCAUUAUAUUCAUGGGUUUGUGAAACACUAUGAGGGCAUUAAUCAAGGUUUGAAAUGAGGGGUUUUUAGUAAGAAAUUAAAUCAAGUGCAUUGUUUUUGAAACAAGUGCAUCAUGAUUUCCAAAUUCUUCCUAUCCGCUUGUUCCCUCCUUAUGUUCACUCACUAAGUUUCGUACUCACAUUUUUAAAUUUCAUGUUUUCAGAUUGAAGGCAGUUGGGGCCUAGAUUGAGUUGCACACAUAUGCUCGCUUUCUUGGUAGGUACUAUGGCAUCUCAAUAGCCGCAUCUUCACUGUGGUCACUUCGCUAGAAGUCAAGAAUCAUUUUGUUUUAUGAGUAUGUUCAUGUGAUGUAAACUACUAAGAUACGUGUUUUAGAUGAAAUAUGUAUAUUUUAACUGUGAAUGCCACCAUGAGUUGAAAUGUUAACAUCAUUUUGGGUUUAUAUUAAUGAAAUUCUUGAUUGUUAUAGCCCAUUAUUAAAGUGAUUAUAAGUUGGAAUUAUGAAAGGUGACUUGAGAAUAAUUGAUGGGAUGUUAAGCAAGAUUACAUAAUAGGCCUGCUUGGGCUUGGUGGGCUAUGCCCAUUGGGCCCAUGCACCUAUCAUGCCCGAGAAUUUAGGCUGUGAUAGAACAAUUCUUACUUCAGUUGGGUACAUCACUAACUCCACACAUACAUACGUAUCCGCACAUUUAAGUCUCAUCAUUCCUUAUUAUGUGUGGGGAUCUUUGUUUUGAAGUGCCUUUAGACUAAUUUCUCUUUGUUCGUUCCCAUCCAUAACCAAGAUUCAGUAUGAUAAUCUUUAUAGUUCAUGUCAAUGUUCUCAUAUUUAAUCUAUGAGCAUUGGGGUAUAAUAAAUUUCAAAUUACCCUUUUUAUAUGUUUAAAUCACCAUUUCACUCGCAUCUUACCAUAAGUUAUCUCUUACAUAAUCCAUAAGAAUUCUCAUUAUGCCUAUGCAUAGCUUCACGUCCUUUUCAUGCUUAUACUCCUUUCUUAUCAUUUCCAAUUAUAUACUUAAGUUUCAUUAUACUAUAUAUUCUUGCAUCAUAAUGCCAUUAGUCACAUCUCACUCACCAAAUGUCAUUUUCAUUAAAUUGCAAUCCAGUAUUUGUAUGUAUUUUAUAAUUUCAUUGAUCCUUCAAAGAUUCAUCUUUACUUGAUCACUGCAUCUUAUGCAAUAUCACAAUCCCUCCAAGACAUCCUUGUUUCUUAAUUAUCUUUCAUGCCUUUAACAUAUAUAUUAUAUCCUUAUUGCAUUUCGAUAUUAAUUAGUCACUUAAGACUUGGACUUAUUUGAAUCAUGCAUGCCUCAUGCGUUUUAGAAUUCCAAUUUCCAUAAUACAUUAAGAGGUUUUCAUUAUCCAACUUCAUUAUCAAGGUUACCUUUGUCAAAGCCUAAUUUUUGGGCCAUGACUAGCACAAGAACCCAAUAGGCUCAGCCCAUUGAGCCCAAGCAAGCCUACUUAAUUGAUCUUAUACAUUAAUCCCUAUUCCUUUAGAAUCCAAAGCUUGAAGUGUUCAAAUACCGUUUCUUUGAAAACGAUUCAUAAAACCCAAUCAUACAUUCAUAAAUAGAUUAACAAAUGAUUCUUAAUGUUUCACAUUAAAUAUUCAUAUACACAUAAUUAGACCUUGACCGUCAGCGGAGUGACUCUGGGCACGAUUGAUAACACUUAGUGUCACGUUAAACCAACAGAGCAAUGUAUAGGGAGGAGCACCUCGUCCUAGGAUCCAAUCACCUUCAACGCAGGAAACCUAAAACAUGAAUUUAAAAAACGUGAGUACAAACUCAAUGAGUGAACAUAGGAAGGGAACAAGCAUCAAUACGAGAAGUUUUAGAAAACAUGAUGCAUUUAUGUUGAAGACAAUGCAAUUUAACUCAAUUUCUUGUCACAACGAAAAUCUAUUUUUGCUGCAGUGAAAAUCAAGUGGAAACCAUUUCACAAGUUUUAACAUUCAAAAAUCAAUGCAACCACAAUAUAAUUUCCAAAAUCCUCUAUAUAUAUAACAUAUAUAAACAUACAUAUGACCACUGGCCUUACCCCCAACUCUGUCUCAGCUUAUGUUCACUACCACACCGCACAUAGCUGGGUCAGCAUAGCUCAUGUGCACUCCUACACCGCACAUGGCUGGGUCAGCACAGCUCAUGUGAACUCCUACACCGCACAUGGCUGGGUCAUAAUUAUCACACAAAAGUAUCAUUUAUUGUAUAAUAUACACGUCAACAUAAUGUAGAAACUCAUGAAUUCAUCAUAUUCAUAUCUCAUAAUAUCAAAACAUUUCAUCAAGGGCUUGUUCCCAUGCAAUUUUUAAAGAAAAACCAAUAAAAUAUUUCAAGUGGCUCAAUUAAGCAUAUAAUAAUUUUUUCCAAAACAUUUUAAUGUAAGUUCACUCACUUGGCAACGACGAGAUAUUAAAUCGCUAUUUGUUCAGAGGUGUCUCUAACUAUUUUCACUGGUCGGUUUCCCGUUAUUUUCUCCGACACGUCGCCACAAUACUCUAACCUUAUCUCUGCACUUCCUAGUAAUAAUACGAACUCAAUAUAUUUAAUUACAUACGUAUACGGGCAAUACUUCAAUCAAUUAAUCCUUCCUUAAAUUUAUAUUUUUCAUCCUAUCAUGAUACCAUCUUCAAUUAACUCUUAAUACAUUUUUACUAAAAUUACUUAUAUCCAUUGCUUACGUAAUUCCUUAGAUUAUAUCACCGGCAACUUAUUUAUGAUGUCACGUGCCUACUUCAACCUUUCUAAAUAAUUUUCGCCCAAAUCCAUCUUAUAUUUCCACACAUAAUCCACAUAGAUGGCAGAAACAAUCAUUCUUACUUUCACUCGAUUAUUUCCUAGUUUACAUGCAUUGUUAUCUAUCUAACUUUCAAUACUUUGUUUCUCAAUCCUCCAUCCACAAUAUUCCUUUUUCAUUUCUUUCAAACAACAUGCCAUACAAUCUUAAUAAUUUUCAACUAGCUUAGGCAAAUAGAUUCUUUCAACAACUGUAAUUCCUCACAAUAUGCAACUAACCGUAGGCUUUAAAACAUAGUGUUAAGAUUACCGUUUUCCUUUUCUACUUUGAGUCCUUCAUGUACCCAUGGGUUUAUUGGCUUACAUGUUACCAAUUUUUCUUCAAUCAAGCUAAUUUUUGCUGCCACAAGACAUUUCUCUAAGCCACUAACUCAUUUUCAAAGACUACUCAAGUCAAAAGCAAGAAUUCUUACCGUUCCUUGCUUGAAUCAACAAAACCAAGCUUUUUCCUCCUUUCUGUUUCUUUCUUUCUUCUCCUUCUAGGGUUUAGAUGUUCUGGAAAUUGGGGUUAAAGGUUGUAAAUUUAGUGCUCAAGAAGUUUGGAGAAGAAAGAAAAGAAAACAUGCAAAGGAAAAUGAAGAAAACUUGGUUUCAUGGUGGACAGAGAGAAAAUGGCAUGGAAGCUUCAAGAAUGGUGUGGAGCAUGGACGAGAAAAGGAAAAAAUAUCUUGCUGGAGGAGAUAAGAACGGUUUUGGGCUGAAAAAAAUUAGAGUCAAAGCUUUCUUUGGAAGCUUUGACCAAAUUUCACGAAAAUAACUGUUUUGCACUUUUUGUUUCUUUCCAUUUUAAUUUAGUCCUUCCAACACUCAUUUAAUUCAAACUUCCUUCUAUUAUCUUCUUCUACACAUGUACAAACAAAGUAUGAAGAUUGUACUCCAACGCAGUGUCCCCGUAAUAUUUAAAAUAUUUAUUUACCCGUGAUAUCUUUACUUAAUGAAGACACGCGACCCCAUUAACAUCAUUUUUUUCUCUAAAAUUUUCUCAUUCUUCUUCUCCCCUAGUUAGAUUGACCAUAUACUCCUCAUUCAUGGAAAAUUCUGACACUGAAUAAAAUAAUAAUAUUUUAAUAUUAUUUUAUUCCAAAAAUUUCCUCUUGUCUCUGUUUGUCUCCUUAGUACCCAAAAUACCUUAUUAUGCCUCAAUUCACUUCCGAAUCACUUUUUAUCUCGUAAAUUUUUUCUCGAUAAAAUAUUAUUAUUUUAUUAUUAUGUUCUCGCGUGCGAAAUAUUUUAUCCCAACUGUUCCUUUCAUCUUUCAUCACUUUUAAAUAUUAUAAUUAACCUCAAUUGACAUCCAAUAAGCAUUAUUAGUCAUCGCAUCAAGUACAAGGUAUUACAACCUUCAACCAUCCUUUGUACUAUUCUCUUAUAAUGAUAUAACGUCAUUCUCCCUUAAUCAAUUCAUAACUUGUACUUGAAAUUGCAAGAGUGGAAACAAGGUUCUUCUCAAGUACUUCUUAAUAUCAAUGUGAGUACCACUUUAUGCUUACGGCUUCCCUUUUGUAACCACAUAACUUAAUGGUUGUUUCCACAAGAUUCAUAGCAGGAUUACUCUUGAGUAUUUCCUUAUAGAUGCCUACCUUUAACUUAUGUCUCACCGCAUAUGAUCACAUAACUCGUGGUUUAGCCAUUAGACUCCUUAGCAAGUUUCCAAAUCACACAUAUUAUACUAUAGCUUAUGAUUGGUAAUUCUUUCUCAAGGAUGUUCAUGCAUCCCUGAAACACUUAAUCACUUAUUUGCUCUUUAACAUUCCGAGCGUAUCAUUCCAAAAAAGGCAUGCACUUAUUCACCAAGAUAUUUAAAUGCAUGCUCAGCUAUUCACACAUUAAUUUAUCCCCAAGGGUUUCUAGCAUGCCACGUAAUCGGCCUUGUGUUGUUACUAAUUCUUUUCAUUCAACUAAGUUAAGACAGGAAUUGCAAAUUCUCAUAGCAAUAUUCUAUAUAAACUCAUUUGCUAUACCAUUCUUGUAAUCCUUCAUUCACACUUUCAUCACUUAGUAUUGACAUCCCUUAUCAAUAUCUCAUACAUUCAUCUAACUUUUCAUUCACUUUUUCCUUAGCCUUUAACAAGGCUUAAUCUUUUAUCCUCUUUAUUUCUUAGGGUUUGACUUUAGUUUGUGUAAUGUUUAUCUUAAUACUUCACACAAUAAUUCAUCUCAAGAACUCUCUAACUCCACUUUCUAUCACCUACCAAUAUAUAGGGCAAUAAAGAAACUUUUCAAAUCACUCAUCAUCUUUAUCUUAAUAUUUUCCCAACACACUUAAAACUCUAAAUAACAAAAGUUAGCAUCAAGGCCAAUGACCAUAAUUCAACUUGUGAGUUUCAUCUUUAUGCCACUCACAAUUUGCUCAUGCUUUCUAGCCAUUAGGGGUUCUUAGAGUAGCAACAUUGGGUAGUCGGUGCUGCGGUGUUACAACUGCUAGAAUUUACUUUAUCAAAGCAAUUCUUCUUCUUUUAAGGCUACUAUACUAAUCAUUCUCAACCGCAUGGCUUUCCUUUAAGCCUAUACCACAAUUUCCAUAAGUAUGUGUAUCUUCUCUUUGCUUAUCAUAUGCACUAGGCCAAAUUAAUACUUUCAACUCAUAUCAUCUUUUAACUUUUAUCAUCAAUCAUGAAAUCCCACCUUAAGGCAUCUUUUCCAUAUGGUGUAAUGAAUUCACAAUACAUAUAUCACCCCACACAUAAUUACUCACUAUUUAUGGCAUUCCACAAAUUUGUUAUUAUCCAUAACUAAUUGUCUUUCUUGUCUUGUAACUCCAAUAGUUUAUUGACUUCUUGUAGAAAUGACCAUGAAAAUAGUUCAUCUUUUUCCUCACUUUAUCCUCACAAUCCUUAUUAAAUCAAGAAUUCAUCUUUCCCAAGUUCCAUAAUUUAACUCCAUUGGCCUAUAUUCGUGCCCAAUUAUUACCUCAUAAUGUCAUGGCAUCAUUUUGUAAUCCCUUCCAUGCUUAAAUUACAAUCCUCGACUUAAUCACAUCAUCCCUUCUAAGUGUCACCUUUUACCCUCAUUGAUUUCUCCCAAUCCUUCUAAAUUGUUAUUACAAUUGGGAUUUCAAUUUCCACCUUUCCAUGAUUAAUUGGUAAUCAUUUAUCAGGUCUUGUAGUUGUUUAUACCAUUAAUGACUUUCUACGUCGAUCCUUAAUAAUUAUCUAGGGCGACCAACCAUGCCACUAAGGUGAAUAUCCUUCCUCAAUAAUUAUAUUGCUAGUCUACCUCUGUCAUGCCAAAAGAUUCCCAUACACAUCCAGUCAUUUAAAUAGCUACUUUAUAAUCCAUUUGAGUCAUACAAAAUAAAAGCCAACUCUUAACUCCUUUUGUAUAGAUAACUACUACUAUUUCCUUUACACCGCAUAUGUCUAGACUUAAAGUGAUACGAACUUCAACGAAAAUAUUAAGUGUGUUUAAGAUCCGCUUCGCCUUGAUCCAAGCACAUGGACGAAUUCUUUUCCGGGUCCUCCUCUUCCUCUUGAGAUUUUUUCAUUUUAUCCUUAAUCCAAGCUUGUUGUAUUCUCAUGCAUUCCUCGUUACUCACAGGCGCAGCACCUUUGCCACAACCUUGAGUAAAGUCUCAAACAAUAGAUACAGAUACUUUCCUAGGACGAAAAUUACUAACAGUCUCUUUUUCCAUCUUGUUUGUGUUCUUUUUCCUCAGAUCGAUUUCAUUACGCACCAUUCUUGCGAGGCUCCUCCAGCUCUUAAAUAGUAUUCUACCUCUCGAAGGAACCGAUCCACUAGAAAAUCGGGUCGGGUUACUUGUUACACUUCCACCCUCGGGCACAUAUCGACUCUGAGUAGUGGAAUCUAGCAAUCCUUAGCUAGUACUGUGAGGGGCGUCAGGACUACUGUCUCUUCUAGACAUGGCAUGUGCAAUAGAGACACCUUUAAACUUAUACGUUACCAAGCAUUAAUUACUUAUCCAUUUAUACAUCAUAAGAGCAAGUAGGUUUCUAAUGAAGUAAAGGCCCAUGUAGCCUUCAGUCCUUGACUUGCAUUGGGUACCCACAAUCCAAGGACAAGACUCUACACGGACUCCAAUAACUCCGCUGAUAAACACAAAUAUUCCUAGAACUCAAUUAAACCUAGAGCUUUGAUACCAAGUUUGUCACAGCCCAAAUCCUGGGCCAUGACCGGUGCAAGGGCUCAAUAGGCACAGCUCAUUAGGCCCAAGAAAUCCUUUCUAUAUGAACCUGUACUGUGAGACCUUUACCUUUAUAGACUUGUAAAAGGAAGUAUACACGAUAUCCCUAAUCAGGGAUAAUUUCGUCAUUUCCUCAGUAAGCCCAUAAAAGUAAGAUUUUUAAACAAUAUUAUGGCCUAAGUAGGCCUAAGGCAUAAAUGGAUGGUGAAAUUAGGGGUAAAAUGGAAAGGAAACCAAAAUUUUGAUGAUUUUUACAAUAAAGGCAAAAUGGUCAUUUUUCACCUCCGGUUAAAAUUUUAAGUUUUCAUGAACCCGAGUAUGUCUAGACCAUUAUGGACCUUGUCCCAGUGUUAAAGGAGUAAAAAGAUUACACAAAGGGUUACAUGAGUACAAGCUAACUAGUCAAGGCCAUUUUCGUAAUUUUAAGAGAAUGGAUAAGUUUGGCCUAUAAAUACUUUCUUCUAGCAGCUUCUUCUCCCAUUUUCCAGCAGCUUGUCUUCUUCUUCUUCUUCUCUUUCACGUUGCUUCCAACCUCCGUGGAAGGUUGAUAUGGAGCUUGCAUGAUUUUCUCUCUCUAGCUCUAAUUUUCAUACCUUUGAGCCUUAUGACUAGAACCUUUGAAUUCUUCCACUCUCUCUCCUUAAAACCCCUGAAAAAAUUCUUAUUUCCAUACUUUCGCUCACUAGUUGGGCGUUCUAGAGAGAGAAAAAGAGAAUUACCCCAUUUGUGUGGAAGCUAUUGAAAGAGAAUUCAACUACAAAGGAGUCCUCGGGUAAGUGAUGACUUAAGCUUGGUUUUUAGCUGUGAAUAAUGGCUAGUAAUUGAGAGUAUGAGCUAUUUUAUUGUUGAGUAUGUUCAUUAGUUUUUAGUGAUUAAGAUAGUGAACAUAGAUAGCCAUUUAAUGUGGCAAUUGAAAGCUAGCUAAGAGAUAACUUUUAGGGUUCAUAGUGUGUGAAUUGACCUAAUGCUUAUGCUAAUGUGAACCUAGGUUCUAAUGAAGUCCCAUCCUUCCAAUUGGAUCAUUAAAGGAAAUAAAGUCAGCUAAAGGCUCAAUAAUAAAUCAGUGAGUGGACUGCCUAUCAAAACUAUUUUGGGAAUGUAACUGUUUUGUGCAAAGUGUUUGAAUGAUUUUAUACAACCUUUCUUAAAAAUGAGUGCCUUGGGAACAAGCUCUUGAGAAAUGGUUUAUGUUGAGACAUGUGACUAUUAUUGAUUCAUGCACUACCAAAUUGUGUUGAUAUAUAUAUAUAUAUGAAUAUAUUGUUGUGUAAUGACAUUGACUCGGUUAUGUGUGAGUAGGGAGUGCGCAUAAGCCGAGGAUGACCCGGUUAUGUGUGAGUAGGGAGUGCGCAUAACCCGGUGAUGACCCAGCCAUGUGCAAGUAGGGAGUGCGCAUGAGCUAGUGAUGAUGAUGAUGGGAUGGUGUGCAUGAUGGUGAUGGGUAUAUGUAUACAUAUGUAAACAUAUGUGUUAUAAGAAAUUUAUGAGUUAUGUAUAUGGAUGUAAUGUAUGUGAAAUUCGAUAUGUUAAACUUUGGGAAGUUGUUAUGUAUUUCUUAUUGGUUUUGAACAUUUCAAGCAGGGUGGUUUUCUUUUAGAGAAAGGGAAAUUUUCAUUUGGUGCCCUGUAUCUCGCUGCAGCGAGAAACUCUCAGGUUUGAGAACCUUCACCAGAACUAGUUCUCGCUGCAGCGAGAUAGUCACUGUAGCUUCUCACUGCAGCGAGAAACUCUCUAUUUCAUUAGCUGAAUUUCGCUGCAGCGAGAAACCUUCUGUUUUUGUCUUCUAUCUUAUCCAAUUACUGCCCUAUUUUUCAUUGCUUUGCUACCAUAUCGGAGCAUGAACUUCCAACAUUAAGGACUAAAUUAGUUAAGUUUAAAAUGAGGAGGUUUAGUGAGAAACUCUCAUCUAGUUGAGAAACCCUCGUUCGGCUAAUAACCAAAUCCCAAUGUCGCUGCAGUCAAAAGGCAUUCUCACUGCAGCGAAGAUUCGUUAUCGUAUUUGACUUGCUUACGUAUCAUUGAAGCUUUCACUCUUCAAAUGGUUCAUUAUGUAUGGGUUCAUGAUUUUCAAAUGAUUAAUCAUUUAAGGGCUUGAUGAGGGGUUUUUAAUAUGAAUGGAACUAAAUUACAUUGUUUUGAAACAAGUGCAUCAUGAUUUUAAAUUCUCCCUUGUUGCUGCUUAUUCUCUUCCUUGUUCACUCACUGGGUUUAUACUCAUCGUUUUCAACUUCAUGUUUUCAGAUCACGAGGCAACCGGUAACUAGGACGAGGUGUCUUUGUAGACCUGUAUCCAUCUUUUGGUAGGUGUAUUGGCAUUCAGUUGCUGUACAUUCAUCCGAGUCCCUCCGCUGGAAGUCGAGUAUUAUUUUGUUGUGUAUAGCCGAACCUAAUGUAAAUUGUUAAGAUACAUGUUGUAGACAAAUGUAUAUACACUUGUUUAGUAUGCCAGUAUGAGAUGGCAAUGUGUAGUAUUAUUUUGAUUCUAAGUUAUGAAAUGUGACUUAGUAGUUUAUGAUGGAAUGAUAAACAUGUCGGACUAAUAGGCUUGCUUGGGCUUAGUGGAUUAUGUCCAUUGGGCCCAUGCGCCAGUCAUGCCCCGAAAUAUGGGUCGUGACAUGUACAUUAGCCCAUCAAUUAUCCAUAUUUCUUUAAAAUCUAUAAUUCAUAAUAUUCAAAUAUAAUUUCUUUGAAACAAUUCAUAAAACCCAAGUAUUUACUCAUAAUGGCAUCAUCGAUCAUAAUAUACAUUGAUAGUCUGACAAAUGAAUCUUAGCAAUUCACAUUAAGUACACAUAUACACAUACAAUGACCUUGACCCUCAACAGAGUGACUCUGGGCAUGGGUGCUAACAUUUAGUGGCAUGGUGAACCUACUGAAAGAUGAAUAGGAGGGAGCACCUCAACCUAGGAUCCAACUACCUUUGAUCCUAAAACUCAAACAUGAAUUUGAAAAGAAUGAGUAUAAACUCAGUGAGUGAACAUAGAAAGGGAACAAGCAGCCAACACUGAAAGUUUUUGAAAACAUGAUGCACUUGUUUUGAAAACAAUGCAAUUUUGUAUGCCAUACACAAAACUCGAUGCCAUGUUGUCUUUUAACUUUUUUAAAACAUUUAAGAAAAUCAACUUUCAACACUCAAUACAAACACAUAAUAUUUCCUUAACUUUUUCAUAGCAUAUAUAAACAUUUCUAUAGCAUAUAUAAACAUCUCUAUAGUGUAUAAAUAUAUAAACAUAUAUCCAACCACCAGUCAUUAGCUCUUGUGCACUCCUUACACGCACAAGGCAAUAUCAUCAUGUGUACUCACUCCCUACACGCACAUUUCAAUAUCAUCAUGUGCACUCCCUAUACGCACAUUUCAAUACCAUUACACGCACUCCUGCCCACAUCAUCUCCGGCAUCGUCAUGUGCACUCCCACACCGCACACGCAAAGUUAUAUUAACCAAUCAACAUUAAAUUUCAAAGAAUAACACACAUAUCAACACAUAACAAAAUCAUUGCAUAGUACUAUAUCUCACAUAAUUCAUUAUUUUACUGGUCAUAAACAUAGUUGCAUAAUCCAACACUAAAAAAAGAAUAACAUUAUUCAUUUUGCCAAUAAUUUAGGACAUCUCUAGAUUUCAAAUUCACACAUUACACAAAUCAAUUGGCAAAUCAACAUAACAUUCCAAGUACAUAACUCAGCACAUUAUUUAUUCAACCACGUAAAAGAAUUACUUGUGCAAAGCUUGUUCCCCGUGCAUAAUUUUAAAAGAAAUCAACCAAAGAUAUUCAAACACAUAUGCAUUUGUUCAAAGUAUUUUAAAUGCAAGUUCACUCACCUUAACGAUGCCACCUAACAAAAUCUUAAUCUAGGCAGUCCCGAAAUAUCGUUAAAACCUAUAUUUACCAAAAAGCCAGAACAACCUUGAUCAAGUCAUAAUUUGAAUUUAAUAAUUCUAAUAAAUAUACAUUAUACAAUCUACACUCUAACCCAACUUUUAACCUAGAAUUCUAGUUUAAUUCACAAACCCAUUAAACUAAUUGUUCAAGUUUGAAGUUUCUUUACCUUGGUUCUUGUGCUAGGAACGGCAUGAUUAGAGCAUCAACACAGCAGAAUAAAAAGGGUUGAAAUAAAAAUAAACCAUGCUUCCUACCUUUGGAUCACCUUGGUUGUUUAAUGCAAAGUUAUGUACCACACAAAAAAAAAAAAAAAGUACAUUUCCAAGUGAUAUCGUAAUCAAAUGGAUUCUUUUUGGUGACAAAACACGAACACCUUUGGUGUGAAAGAAUCCUAGCCACUCAAUCGCUUGGCCUCCAAUGAUGCACAAACGAUUGCAACGGAUCCUUCUCAAGAAGAGAGCUUUAUGCCAUGGGCUUGUGCUAGCAAGUGGACAACGAUUUGUCCUCUUUUCUUCUUUGAUUUCCAGCAAAGAAUCAAAGGAGAAGUUUUCAAAAGAAAAUAAAUGUCUCAAGAGUGGCAGCACUCAAGAGAAAAAUCCUUCUCCACAAAAAAAAAGUUGGCUAUAAUGUGAUAUUUAUAUCUACGUUUAACUUAUUAAAAUUUACGAAAUAAGUCCUUAAUAUUAUAACAAUUAUAAUAUUUAACUAAUACCUAAUUAAACUCUUUUAAUUAGGUCCUUAAUAGUUAAAACCUAGAAUUUGAUUUAAGUCUAACUUAAAUCAUCACACUCUCAAUUUAAUCAAAAUUGCAACCUCUAUGUGUGACCCAUUAGGUUCCUAACAUGUUGGCAAUGGAACUGAAUUAUAAUAUUAUUAAUUAAUUAAUUUAAAUGAAUCAUAUUCAAUUUUAAAUUAACUAAUUCAAUUCCAUAGACCAUGAUUGGCAUCUAACAAUGCAUCAUGGCCACCCAAUUGUUAGGAGAGUAAAAGGAUUCUUUGACAACCUUUCACUAUAUAGCUUUUUAGUGUAAUUCAUUCCCUCAUCAUAUAUCCUGAAGAUGAUAAAAGCUUGGUGCAGUGCUUACUCUUAUUGAUCUCCAUAUUUGUUCUUGCAGUUAGAUGAUUAGCUUUAUGGAGACUUAUGAAACUCAUUUCAUAAUUUCCUAAUCACCUUGGCCAAGGAUUUGAUUAAGCUAAUAACAACCAAGAACUAAUGAGAUAUUUCCCUUUGAAUCACUUGGGGUGAUGAUUCUUAUCUUGACCACUCAUCUGCCUUCACAUGCUUCAUGCUAUACCCAAAAGUGUCUUGUUUUGGCAUCUUUGGUUAGGCACUCAUAGAGAUGAAAUCAAAACAAAACACUCCACACAUAAGACAACCUGGUGUCUCAAGUCUAGGGAGUACUUACACAACUGACACAUGAGAAGUAUUGCAUAGACACUUGAGUGAAAUACCAAAUCCACUUCUCAUGACGGGUCAUGUUCAGUGAACUCGCUCUCCCACAGCAAGCACCCACAUGCUAGUUCCAAGUAUCUUUAUACUUCAACCUAUGAGAACAAUUGCUUACUUCACAAGUAAGGAACAUAACAUGUGCCAAUCUUUGAGCAUUAUUGAUGCCCUGUCUCAAUAAUACAAUGAUCAGGAAUUUUUAGGAACAAUACUUUAAUGCAUAAGGAUUUCAUAAUUGUAUCCCAAUACAAUUCUUUUGCAAGGCAUAUAUAGUUCCAUGGGCUUUAUCUACAUAAGUACAAAAAAAGUAAUUAAAUUACAAACUUAUGGAUAAAGAACUACCUCAAUGUUAUUAUGAAUAACAAAAUGUCAUACAUGAAUAUCUCAAAAUUGCAAUUCCCAUACAACCACAGAUUGACUUGUAGGGCUUAUACUAACAAUCUCCCACUAGCACUAAAGCCAAUCGCCUAUGUAUCUAAUACCAAUGUUCUCAACAUGACGAUUAUGCUUCUGCUGGGAUAGUGCUUUAGUGAGAGGAUCAGCAAUAUUAUUCUUAGUGGGUACACGCUUUAUGCAAAUGUCUCCUCUUCCAAUGAUCUCCCUGACCUUGAUCACAUGGUAACGUAGUAAUACAUUUUUGGAUUUCUGAUGAGACCUUGGUUCCUUUGCUUGUGCAAUAACUCCAUUGUUAUCACAAUACAAAGGUAUUGGAUCAACAAUGCUAGGAACUGCAUCUAGUUCAGUAAUGAACUUCUUAAUCCAAACUGCCUCUUUCCCUGCCUUAAACAUAGAGAUGUAUUCGAUCUCAGUUGUAGAAUUUACAGUCGUCUCUUGUUUGGAACUCUUCCAACUCACUACACCUCCAUUGAGUGUGAACACAUAUCCACUUUGCGACUUGCUAUCAUCUUUGUCAGUUUGAAAGCUUGCAUCCAUAUAACCUCUAACUUGGAGUUCACCUCCUCCAUAAACUAGAAAUACAUCGUUAGUUCUUCGUAAGUACUUCAGGAUGUUUUUCACAACUAUCUAGUGACUUUCACCAGGAUUAGCUUGGUAUCUACUCGUGACACUUAGAGCAUAAGAUACAUCUGGUCUAGUGCAAAGCAUCGCAUACAUGAUAAAUCUUAUUACUGAAGCAUACGGGAUCUUAUCCAUGCGAUCUUUCUCUUCUUGAUUCUUUGGACACAUGUCCUUAGAAAGAUAGAUGCCUUGCGACAUAGGCAAGUGUCCCUUCUUGGACUCCAUCAUGCUAAACCUCUUUAGCACCUUGUCUAUGUAUGUGGAUUGGGAAAGACCUAACAACCUUUUAGACCUAUCUCUAUAGAUCUUUAUUCCUAGAAUGUAAGUUGUUUUUCCCAAAUCCUUCAUAGAGAAUUGUUUGGACAGCCAAAUCUUUAUAGAUUGCAGCAAUGGUAUAUCAUUUCCUAUGAGCAAUAUGUCAUCAACAUAUAACACUAGGAAAAAUAUGGCACUCCUACUAAACUUUUUAUAGACACAUGGUUCAUCCUCAUUUUUGAUGUAGUCAAACCCUUUUACAGCUUCAUCAAAAAGGAUGUUCCAACUCCGAGAAGCUUGUUUAAGUCCAUAUAUGGACUUUUGAAGCUUGCAUACCUUAUUAGCAUUAGCAUUGGUUAUAAAACCUUCAGGUUGUGUCAUGUACACUUCCUCUUGCAAGUUUCCAUUAAGGAAUGCAGUUUUUACAUCCAUUUGCCAUAUUUCAUAAUCAUGGUAUGCAGCAAUUGUAAGCAAAAUCCUAAUGGAUUUCAGCAUAGCAACUAGUGAAAAGGUUUCUUCAAAGUUAAUACCUUGUCUUUGUUUGUAACCUUUUGCUACCAGUCUAGCUUUAAGGGUUUGCACCUUGCCAUCUACAUCGGUCUUUUUCUUAAAGACCCACUUGCACCCAAUGGGUUUUAUCCCUUCAAGUGGAUCCACCAAAGUCCAUACUUGGUUGGUAUCCAUGGCAUCCAUUUUAGAUUUCAUGGCUUCUAACCAUUUCUCAGAAUCGAUGUCCAACAUCGCCUCCUCAUAGGUUGUAGGCUCAUCAUUUAUGGGCAAUGCGUCCCUUUCCAAGAGAAAUCCAUAUCUCUUUGGAGCUUGACGUAUUCUACUAGACCUUCUGAGUGGUUGUGCCUCUUGAGAUUGUGGUUGUAUAUCAGAUGUCAUAAUCUCAAGUUCAAGUUCCAAUGGAAUGUCAAUUUGUGGGUCUCGAACUUCUUCGAGUACAACUUUACUCCCACUAGCCCUUUCAUUUAAGAACUCUUUUUCAAGGAAAGUGGCAUGCCUUGAGACAAACACCUUUUGCUCAAUGGGAUUAUAAAAAUAAUAUCCGUGUGUUUCUUUAGGAUAUCCCAAAAAUUUACAUUUGUCUGAUCUUGCUUCUAGCUUAUCAGACAUUGUACGUUUCACAUAAGUAGUACAUCCCUAAAUCCUAGCAUAAGACAAGUUGGGCUUUUUCCCACUCCAUAUCUCAUAUGUUGUCUUAUCAACUGAUUUGAUAGGAACCUGGUUCAGUAUGCGAGGAGCAGUUUCUAGAGCAUAUCCCUAGAAAGAUAUAGGAAGAUCUACACGACUCAUCAUGGAUCGAACCAUGUCCAAUAAUGUUCGAUUCCUUUUCUCAAAUACCUCAUUGUGCUGUGGAGUCCCUAGAGGAGUCCAUUGUUCGAUUAUCCCAUUCUCUUUCAGAUAAUCUUGAAACUCUUGGCUAAGAUAUUCUCCUCCUCGAUCAAAUCUAAGAGUGAGAAUCCUCUUCCCAAUUUGUUUCUCAAGCUCUGCUCUGUAUUCUUUGAACUUGUCAAAGGAUUCAAAUUUAUAUUUCAUCAAAUAUACAUAACCAUAGCGAGAAUGGUCAUCUGUGAAGGUGAUGAAGUAGGAGUAUCCUCCUCUAGCACUAGUAUUCGUUGGACCACAUAUAUUUGAAUGUAAAAGUCCUAGUAACACCCCAGCUCGUUCACUCUUUUUAGUGAAAGGCGACUUAGUCAUCUUACCAAGGAGACAACACCCACAUGUUCCAUAUGAUUCAUAAUUAAAUGGAUCAAUGUAACCUUGUUUGUGUAACUUGGUUAAGCGAGUCUCAUUGAUGUGUCCAAGCCUACAGUGCCAAAUGUAGGAUAGUUUUGGAUCAUCUUUUUUUUCUUUCUUAACCUUUAUAUUAAGUACGGGUCUCUUAGGAUCAAGAAAAUAGAGACCGUUCGAAUGCGUCCCUAUACCAUAAUGCAUCUCUCCCUUUGAGAAAGAACAACAGUUGCCCUUAAUGCAAAAUUCCAUAUUAUCAUAUAAUGCCAAGUAUGGCACAGAUAUGAUAUUUCGAGAUAUGGAAGGAACAUCGUAACAGUCUCUUAAUUCCAAGAUCAACCCAGAAGGUAAAGGUAUGGUAACUGUCCCUAUAGCCAAUGCAGCAACCUUUGCUCCAUUACCUACUCUUAGGACCACCUCUGUCACAACUCGAAACCUCCCUCGGGCCCAUGACAAUCGUUGCAAUGUCUCGAUUGACACUCAUUACCCGGAAUGCCAAUCGAAACCCCGCAAGGCUUACAUAUCAGUUUUAAACAAUUUUCAGUCUUUUUAGGCUCAAGUAAAUCAAAAACAAAAAUAUAGCAUUUUUAUAUAAAACAAUAUUUAUAGAAACACGUGUAAGUAAUCUUUGUAACUUAUAAGUAAAAUAAAUUCAUACAUACAAUAAUUUACAAAGUUAUAAUGUACAAUAAUAAUUACAAUGAUAAGUGGCCCAUAAAUACACUAAGCGUUGGUGAUAGUAACCUACUGUCUGUGAGAUAGAGGGGUCAACUGGAAUCCUUGACAAAAUCGAGCAUCUACAAGCUACCACAAGCCUAAAAUAUUUGGAAAGGAAGUGGGUGAGAUUUUGCAAUCCCAAUGAAUAAACAGACAUUAUCAUAAAUAUCUAAAGGCGAGUAACAUGGAGGCAAGCUUAAACAACAAAUUACAAACCAUUUCAUAAGGUUUUCAAUUUAUUUCUUAAACCAUAAAAUAUUUGUAAUUUACCAAAACAGUUGUUAAGGCUUCUAACUUUUAUUAAAAACAAGGCUCAAGCCAAAACUAAUCCUUGGGGAUACCUUGGUUGCGGCAUUUAACCGAGUCCGCCAAGGUUUUUAAGAUAUUUACAAGUGGAACACAUUUUUAUUUUUAAAACAAGCCGUUCCUUACCGUUGGCCGAGUUACACAUACACGUGGGGGUUCGACGUGAAGUGAGCUCUAAUACUACCCCGGGAGUUACCCUCCUCGCCUCUACUAUCGAAGUAACUAUAUAACCGGGUUUACCGUGCCCCUCUAAUAGGCAGUCCACGGAAACCUGUCACUGCAGUGACUAAACCCACCAAUUUUAAUAAAAUUUCGACAGUAUAACGUGGCUUUUAUUUAUUUACCCAGCCUGCAUAGUAAAAGAUAGCUUACAUAAAUUCCCAAUGAAAUUAUAAAAUAUAGCCACAUAUACUCAUAUAUCAUAAGCCAUUCAUAGGAAAAUAUAUUUUUCAAGACAAUUGGCAGCCUCCAGUUACUCAAUUUUAUAAUCAAAAGUUUCUUAUUUCAAAAAAUCAAGACAAUAUAUUUAUUUGUCACAUUUAUUUCUAAAGCAUCAAAAAUCCCAUUUUAAUCUUAUUUUCGUUUCAUAAAAUCAAUGAAGAGCAUUUAAAAAUAAACUCUAGAUAAUUUACAAUAAUAAUAGGUUUACUCACCGUUUGUACAAACUAAUUGCUUUUUUUUAGGUGCCUCGAUCAUUGUUCGUCGGGUAUGACUUCCUUGCCUUUACCAGAAGGCUCUCCUCCUAAACACAUUGCAAAAUUUACCCAAUUCACCACAUUGAUGCUAAAUCACUAUAUAAUUGACUUAAAUCCUAUACUAAUGCAUGGUAUGAAAUGCAAUAGCCUAAAACGGCUUAAACGAGGUAUUAACCUAUUUUUGGCACUUUACUUGUUAAAUUGUUAACGCGCUCCAUUUUAGCUCUAAAUUGUCCCAUUUUCUCUCCAACAUUUCUAACCAUUAAAUAUCAGCCAAUAACUCACUAAAAUCACCAAAAUCAGCUCACUUUCCUCCUUGGAAAAUUCGGCCAAAAAUGGGACAUUAAUUCGGUAAAUCUUCCACUUUGUUUUUCUAUCACAUUUAACCAUUUUUCAUCAUUUUCUCUUCAUUUCUCUUAGAAUAAAAAUCAGUUCAUCAUCAUUGUACAUCAUUGAACAUUCAGCCAAGGGUGGGUAUUGUGAAAAUUUCAUGCUUUCUUGCCCAAUUUGAUUUCUAUACACAUUUAACUAACUAAAACUAUCAAUUUAACUAAAAAUCAAAACAUAAAAAUUUCAAAUUCCUCCCCCUUGAAUUUCGUCCAGCCCUUGAUAUCACUUUUUGAUCUCUCUCCUCAAGCAUGCUAAAUGGAAACAAAGGCAUAAGAAAGGUAGAAAUCAAGCUAAAGUCGAAAAAUCUUACCGUUAGACACGUAAACGGACGAAAAACGCGAUUUCCCCUUUUGUAAUUUUUUUAGUUUUUCCUUUGGUUUUUCCCUUUUCUUCCUUUCCUCUCUAUUUUCUAUCUUGUUCUCUCCUUAUGGCCGGCCAUCACUUAAUAUGGGGUUUAAAUGGGCUGACUUUUCAUUAAAAUAAUAUUAAAUCAUUACAAAGUGCCAUGUGUCACUUUCCCGUUGGCCCGUUUUUAAAAUUUCGUCCUUUAAACUUCAAUUUUUCACCACUUAAAAUACCAUAGUUAUACCAAAAAUAAAUAAAUCCUACGAUUUUGACAAGUUUUGGGUGGUAAAAGUUACAGUUUUUACCCCGAGACGACAAAAUUACGGUUUUGCCCCUAUGUUUCGAAAAUUGCCGAAAUUGAAAAUUUUCACUUCCUAUCAUUAAAUUAUACUCUAAAUAGUUAAUCUUGAGCAAAAAUUUCACUCCAUGAUCAAAUUAUUAUCUUAGGUGGCAAAAUGACGAUUUUGCCCCUAAACAUCAAAAUUUUCAAUUUUUCCCCAAAUGAACCCUCAAACUCCAAACAAUCAUUUUUAGUAAUUCCAGGAUUGUAAAAUAUUAAAUUUCAUCCUAGAUUCUUAUUUGAACUAGUUCGAGGUUAAAUCAACUCAAGUAUACUGUUAGGUACAAUACCGAGUUUCGUCUAUUCUUAGGUGCUUUCCUAGCGUAAUAACAUGCUACUCAAUGCAUGUAUAUCAUGACAUGUGUUUAUAGGGUCUGGUUUUACAACCUCUCCCUUUGUUAAUCUUCUACUCGUUUCCAGCACCUUCAUGUCAUUACAUUAGUGUGACCCACAUCUAGUAUCCAAUACCCAUGAUGAUUGAUUAAUAGUCGACAGAUUUACUUCAAUCAUAUACAUGGUCAAAGAUGAAACUUCUACAAGUUUCUCAUUCUUUGACCUUGUCAAGAAGGCAAGGAUAUCUUCCUUAAUGACAUCUAUUCUAAAUAGAUAUUUGAGAACAUUUCUCAACUUGAUAUACCAGUCCAAACAUUUUGGCUCAAAUUUCAUGAUGACAUCAAGUAUGCUAUGCAAAGUAAUAUGUAUUCGCAUUCUAACAACCUAGACAUUUAAAAAACAUUUAUGAGUAAUCAUGUAUUAUAAUAAAUUAAGAUGAGAUAGUAAAUCUUAAAUUGAUUGCUCCCACUAUUUUCUUCAAGAUGAUAACCCUCCAUAUCACCUAGAGAGAUCUCUACUAGGAUUCUCUUAGUGGGCUAGAAUCCCAUCCAUCUAGUCAUGGCCUUGAGUGUGCUCAACAAGCCAUGAUAGCUAGAUUAGGUAGGUAACUAAGCUUACCAAUUGUAUCUCUAUACAACUCCUAGAUCAGCUAGGUGACAACACAUUGCCUAAACAUAUCAUAUAUGUUUCGCCUAGCCAUUGCCUCUAGUUUCCAUAAUAAUCAAGUUUCCAAGCAUCCGAAUUUUAUGAAACUCGUUGAGUAAGACCCACCAAUAGCUCAAACAUACUCGUAUAAAAGUGUGACCUUGAGUGUGCUCAAUAAGUCUCCAAUUAAAAGAGCAGCCAGGUUAUCUUGCUAUAUGGUGGAAGGCAACUUAAUCAUGUGUGGCAUGUGACUCAAUAUUUACCGAGGGAUUUUAUUUUUUAUUUUUAUUUUUUUAACUUAGUUAAGGUCUCAUCUUUGCAUGCAUAGCAUUUAUUAAUUGCAUAAAUAAAUCUAUCUCAUGCAUACUACUUUGGAUAAUUAUGGACUUUAUCUAUAUUAAUUUUCUUGAGCCAUCGAAGGAAAUUAGCUUGGUCAAAUGGAUAACAUACAACAUGUUGUAAUCUUCCUCCUUGUAUCUUCAUGGCGCCUUUAGGUCUUCAUCUUCGAAUUGUAAAAUAACUCCUAUACUAAUCCUAGUUUUACACUUAUAUGUAACUAAUUACAUUUUAGUAAAGAAACCUCGUGGUACAUCCGAGGGGAGUUAGGUGAGGAAAGAAUUUAACAAUCCCUGAAAAUCAAGAGAAAGGCAGGGUGCGCAGACCCCAUUUAAUAAAUAAAUAGCAUGAUACAAUUUAACCAUACAUCCAUAAUCAUAUUGGGCCUAGUCCAUAAUCAUCCACAUACAUCCAUCAACAUGAACAUAAAAUUAAAACUAUGUCUUAUUCUAAUUGUUAAUCAUAUGAGGCAUCCAAAAUUAGUGUACAACUAAUUUCGAGUUCAUUUUUAAUUCCGUGAAUGGAAAUAGUCUUCCAUGUAUGGAAAGUCUUUACUAAUCAGUAUUAGAAAUAUUAUCCAUUCCUAAUCUCAAUAGAUUAGAAUUAAAAUAUUAUUACAAAUUAAAACAUUUUUAAUUUGUAAUCUUUAAACGUUUUAAGUAACUUUUACUAAUCCUUUUAAAUUAAAGAUUAUGUGUCUUCAAUUAUCUAAUCUCAUUAGAUAAUUUAAAUAUAAUAUUUAAGACAACAUUAUCUUUAAUUAUAUUUAAGUGUCUUAUUCGAAUUUCACUUCUUAAAAGAAGGAAAUUAAUUCAUGAUAUUUAUCUUGUCCAUAUUUAUCACACUUCCAUAUUUGUAGGAAUCAAAUUCCUAAAUUUAUGGAUGUGAUUAAUUAAAUCCUGAUAUCCUUAUUUUAAGGAAUAAAAUUCCCUAAUUUAAAUAUAUCAAAAUUUAUCUUUCUAGAACUUUUCCAUAAGAUAUUGUUUAGUAAAUUAGAGUUUUUAAUUGCACCAAUUUAGGCUGCAAAUAUGGACACUAAAAUCCCAAAAACCAUGACUUUACAAAACUCUGGCAGCAGUGUACCAGUCACAGUUUUAUGGCUUGAUGCGGCAUAAAAUCAGGGAAUUUAAUUCCCAAAUUUUAACCAUGGUCAGCUAACAUAUGGAACCUUUCCAUAUUGAAAUUUCAUAAUUUUUGGACUUGAUUUAGCUGGUCAAAACCCCAAAAAAAUGCAGCCUAUGUAUCCUGUAUGCAGCUGCAGUUUUUGGGUUGCAUAUGUGGCAUUAUGAUGGCAUAAAUCAAGGGAUUAAAUCCCUUAAUUUUAGUAAUCUUCCAAGCCUCUUUUGAACAUAUUCAAACUUCAAAAUUUAUCCAAAAAGGUACAACAAUUGCACAAUUUUUGGACUCUUUGAAGAUGACUUUCUCAGCAAAAUCAUGACCUGAAACUACUGCUGGCAGCAAUGGUUUCAGCCAUGAUUUCACAGCCUUGCCUUCACCAUUUUCAGCUGGUAAUUAAUCAUAUUGAAAAAAUUUCAAUGUAGAUUACUUCCAAAUUUUUUCAGAAUUUUUGGAGGCUUUUAGACCCCUGUUAAAAACUGAAAAUCAAACCACAUGCAAAUCUGGACAGAAUUGAAUUCUAUCACCAAACCGCAUCUUGUUUCCCAUGAAUUCGAAUCCUUUUCUUCCUAAACUCUUUUGUGCAUCUCAUGCACAUAUUGUUCUGCAAAAUUGAGACACUUAAACAAGAUUAGUUGCUGAAACAAAUAAGUAUUAAAAAUCAAAACUCGAAUAUGUGAUAAACUACUUUAAAACAUAAUCGAAAUUUAACACUUACUUGCUCUCUUCCAAAUCCCUCACAUCCAAUUAGAAUUGAAAUUAACAAUAACAAGACAUACCUUUGCAUUAAAACUAACCAAGGGAGGCUCUGAUACCACUGCUAGGAAUGGCAUGAUUAGAGCAUCAAUGCAGCGGAAUAAAAAGGGUUGAAAUAAAAAUAAAACCAUGCCUCCUACCUUUGGAUCACCUUGGUUGUUUAAUGCAAAGUUAUGUACCACAUAAAAUCAAAAAAAGAAUGUACCUUUCCAAGUGAUAUCUUAAUUAAAUGAAUUCCUUUUGGUGACAAAACACGAACACCUUUGGUGUGAAAGAAUCCCAGCCACUCAAUCGCUUGGCUUCCAAUGAUGCACACACGAUUGCGAUGGAUCCUUCUCAAGGAGAGAGCUUUAUGCCACGGGCUUGUGCUAGCAACUGGACAACGAUUUGUCCUUUUUUCUUUUUUGAUUUCUAGCAAAGAAUCAAAGGGGAAGUUUUCAAAAGACAAUAAACAUCUCAAGAGUGGCAACACUCAAGAUAAAAAUCCUUCUGCACAAAAAAAAAAAGUGGCUAUAAUGUGAUAUUUAUAUCUAGGUUUAACUUAUUAAAAUUUGCAAAAUAAGUCCUUAAUGUUAUAACAAUUAUAAUAUUUAAUCAAUACCUAAUUAAACUCUUUUAAUUAAAUCCUUAAUAGUUAAAACCUAGAAUUUGAUUUAAGUCUAACUUAAAUAAUCACACUCUCAAUUUAAUCCAAAUUGCAACCUUUGUGUGUGACCCAUUAGGUUCCUAACAUGUUGGCAAUGGAAUUGAAUUAUAAUAUUAUUAAUUAAUUAAUUUAAAUAAGUCAUAUUCAAUUUUAAAUUAACUAAUUCAAUUCCAUAGACCAUGAUUGGUAUCUAGCAAUGCAUCGUGGCCACCCAAUUGUUAGGAGAGUCAAAGGAUUCUUUGACAACCUUUCAUUGUACAGUUUUUCAGUGUAAUUCAUUCCCUCAUCAUAUAUCCCGUAGAUGAUAAGAGCUUGGUGCAGUGCCUACUCUUAUUGAUCUCCAUAUUUGUUCUUGCAGUUAGAUCAUUAGCUUUAUGGAGACUUAUGAAACUCAUUUCAUAAUCUCCUAAUCACCUUGUCCAAGGAUUUGAUUAAGCUAAUAUCAACCAAGAACUAAUGAGAUAUUUCCCUUUGAAUCACUUAGGGUGAUGAUUCUUAUCUUGACCACUCAUUUUCCUUCACAUGCUUCAUGCUAUACCCAAAAGCAUCCUAUUUUAGCAUCUUUGGUUAGGCACCCAUAGGGAUGAAAUCAAAGCAUAGCACUCCACACAUAAAACGACCUGGUGUCUCAAGUCUAGGGAGCAUUUACACAACUGACACAUGAGAAGUAUUGCAUAGACACUUGAGUGAAAUAGCAAAUGCACUUCUCAUGGCAGGUCAUGUUUAGUGAACUCGCUCUCCCUUGGCAAGCACCCCCUUGGCAAGCACCCACAUGCUAGUUCCAAGUAUCUUUAUAUGUCAACCUAUGAGAAUGAUUACUUACUUCAUAAGUAAGGAACAUAACAUGUGCCAAUCUUUGAGCAUAAUUUGUCACAACCCGGUACUCCCUUCGAGCCCAUGACAACUGCCUCGAUGUCUCGAUAGACAUUCUUUACCCGGAACGUCAACCGAAACCUCACAAGGCUCUUGCAUCAAUUUUACGUUUCCCCUGUGAGCAAUAGUUACUAAAUAUCAUGUUUUAAGAGAAUAUAAACUAUUUUUAAAUAAAAAAUAAACAAAAGUAAUUUUUGCCACAAAGGGGUAUUUUGGUCAUUUUUACUCGAAAAAUUUGAAACCUAGUGAAAAUACAACAAAUGAUAGAAAAAUAUACAUUUCUUAUCUAAAAAUAAUUUUAGUAAUCUAAAUCAUCCAUUUAAAAUAAAAUUUUGGCUAAUCAAACUAAAUAAAAAUAUUAAAUAAAAUAUUCCAUUUUCUUAUAAAAUAAUAUUUAUAGAACUCUACGUAAAUAAUUUUUGUAACGUUAAAGAAAAAUAAAUUCAUACAUAUAGUGGCACACGUAGCCAGGUAUACAAAAUAUUCUACAGUGACAUGUGGGCCCCCAAAAUAAACAUAUAUGUACAAGACUAUAGACCUGCGAUUUCUAAGGGUGCAAACCCACAAGCAAACCCUCGACAUAAUCAGUGGUCUAAAGAUUGCCCUGAGCCUGAAAUGGGUGACAAGAAAGGGUGAGUUUUUAUAAACCCAGUGAGUAAGCAAAAUUCAUUUAUAACAUAUAAAGCCGAGUAAAUGGAGAUAGUUAAAUCAUCUCAUCAUAAUAUAGUUCUUAACAUUCAAAACUCAUUUCAAUUCCUAUAAAACAAUUACAUUUCAUCAAAAUAAUCAACAAGGCUUAUGAUUCUCUUAAAAACUUGACUUGUGCCAAAACUCAUACUCGGUGGCACGUUGGCCCAAGCAUCCAACCGAGUCUGGCAAGGAUAUUAAAACGACAUAUACCCAUAAAACAUGUUUUUACUUUUAAAAUAUAGCCAUUCCUUGGCGUUGGCUGAGUUUCAUCCUCACGUGGUGGUUUAGCGUGAAGUGAACUCUAAACUUACCUUAAGAGAUACCCUCCACGCCUCUCAUAGUAAGGUAAAAUAUAACGGGGUUUACCGUGCCCCUCUAAUAGGCUGGUCCACGGAAACUCGCCCACUGCAGUAAGCUAAAUACAUAACCCACCAAAUCAAUAAAAUUUCGANNNNNNNNNNNNAAUUUAUAUAAUUCACAAAACCACAAUCUCAGCCAUUCAUGCUACCACAAUUUCAUAAGCCAUCAAUUCAAAUCAUGUAUAUAUAUAUAUAUAUAAUACGAAUGUAUAGCCUCCACUUACUCUAUUUCGAAAAUCAACAUCUAGUUUCAGAAUAAUUUAUAAAUCUCAUUCAUUUAACCAACAUUUAAAAUGUAAAACAUAAUAAUUUGCAAAUUAAGUGCCUUAUUCUUUAAAAUCAUAAAACAAGUAUAACCCACUUUAGAUAGUUAAGAUGAACAUCUGAUUACUCACUAUAGCAGGAGUUUGGAGUGGUAAGAGUACUCCUAUUCUCGAUCCUCUGCCAUGAUAUCUUUGCCCUUAUCGGAGGGUUCAGCACUUACCCAUAAUACACGAUACGUAAUUGAAUACAAUGGUGUGAAAUUGUUAUAAAACUACUUCAAACUCUAUAUGAAUGCAUGAAAUUGAAUGAGAAAUGUUCGGAUAGUCACUUAGAGAUGGUGUUCUACGUAGGUUCAAUUGUGAUCGGAAUGAAUUUGUAUUCGACCUAAUUCGAGCUAUACACCAUUGAUUUAACCAAAACAUCCGAUUCAACUCUAAAUAUAUUCAUUACACUCCCAAUAAUCUAAUACACCAAAGCAUUAAAAUGAACUUGAUUUUUGACUAACUUCACCAUUUUUUGAAAUUCAUUCCGAUUCCGAACUAACAUACUAAUCAAUGUCUACACAGUCUCGUAAAUCCAUAUAUAUAUCAUUAGGAAUCAAAUACAAGUCCAUUUACUAUGAUUGUCUCAUUUUCCAUCAAGCCAUUUUCUAAAGGAACUAUAUUUUUUAAUAAUCAGUUUCGAUAUCCAACACCAUAAUUCAUCAAUUCCUAUCUAAAUAACAUGAAAUACAACCAAAUCCAUCAUCAAUAUGCCCUAUAAAAAAUUCGGCCAAAUGAGGGUGGUUGAAGAACAUGUGAUUUUCUUGCUUGUUGUUCCUUCCAAACAUCACAAAAUGACAAAAACACUAGGAUAUUAUGAAAUCUAGCAAAAUUCAUUACCAAAACUUCUCUCUCUAGAUUUGGCCAGCAAAGGUUCCCUCUUAAAAACUUGAAUUUCAGCCAUGGAGAAUGAAAAAGAAUGCAUGGGAAAAGUAGAUCACAAGCUAAAAUUAAAAAAUCUUACCAUUACUUGCUUGAUUCCUUGAAAUCCAAUAAUUUCUCUUCAAUUUUUCCUUCCUAGGGUUUGUUUAAAGCUCGACACUUGUCACCUUUUAAUUGGUCCAUGUUUAAAAACUUAAGUAUUAAGCAUUUCAUUCCCACCACAUAUAAUCUCUCACUUAAAAAAAUAAUGGGUGAAAUUCAUGGGUUUGACAAGUGUCAUGGUGGUGUAAAAUUACAAAAUUUCCAAUUCUGUUCUCAUGGACACUUAAAAUGACCAUUUUGCCCCUAUGUUCGAAAAAUGUCAAAAUUGAAAUCUUUCACUUCUCAAAUUCAAAUAAUGCUCUAAUUAAUCAAAUUUAGUCAAAGUAUCAUCCAACAUUCCAAUUUUUUCCUUAGGUGGCAAAAUGACCAUUUUGACCUUACGUUAUGAAAAUUCUCAAAUUAACUCCAAAUCAAUCCUUGAAUUUUGAAUCAUCAUAUUCAGACAUUCUAAGAUUCAAUAACUCUCAAAUACAUCGUAAAAUCUUUAUUUGGCCUAGUUCGAAGCUUUAAUCAACUUAAUUGUACCACUAGGUUCAACACCGACUUUUAACGAUUUUUCAAUACAUUCAUUUAUGCAAACAUUCUAUCAAGCACAUGAAUGACAUGGAAAAUAUAUUAUAGAGUUGGGCUUGACAGCACUACCCCCUUUAAAAUAAAAUUUUGACCUCAAAAUUUCACUUAUCGGACUCGGAGAAAAUAUGUGGGUAUUGGUUUCUCAUUUGGUACUCAACUUCCCACGUCAUCUCCUCCAUCUGAGCAUUUUUCCACAACACCUUAACCAUUAGAAUGUUCUUAUUCCUCAACACUCGAUCCUUUCGGUCUAAAAUAUGUACAGGUUGCACCUCGAACUUUAAAUCUUCUUGCAACUCAAUCAAAGGUGCCUCGAGGAUAUGGGAAGCAUCAAGUACAUACUUCUUCAGCAUCGAGAUGUGGAAGACAUUGUGAAUCCGAUCCAACUCCGAGGGUAAUUCUAUUCUAUAUUGUCACUGGCCUAAUCUUUUCAAUGAUAAGAAAAGGGUCCAAUGUAUCUCAGAUUAAGCUUUCCUUUCUUUGCAAACCGAAUCACACCUUUCAUUAUUCAACAAGAUACCACAAUUUACCAUAAUAGUAAAAUCAAAUAAAACUUAAUAUCUGAAAGUAUUCAAAUCAUUACCUUUCCAAGGAGAAACCUUAAGAAAAACUCUAUCAUCAAUUUCAAAUUCUAGAUCUUUUCUCCGUCUAUCAGAGUAACUUUUCUGUUUUUCUUGAGCUAUCUUUAAUCGCUCUCGGAUAACUUUGAUCUUGUCAUUAGUCAGAUCAAUCAGUUCUACAUUAACAAUUUCCUCUCACCCACUUCAUCCCAACAGAGUGAAGUUCGACACUUUCUCCCAUACAUAGCCUCGUAUGAUGCCAUCCCAAUACUAGUGUCAAGCCCAGCUCUACAAUAUGUUUAUUAUGUCAUUCUUACAUAAGAAUGCAUGUUUGCUUACUUGGGUACCUUGAAAAUCGUUAAAGGACGGUAUUAUACCAAAUGGUACAAUUAAGUUGAAUUAAGCCUCGAACUGGUCCAAAUAGAGAUUUUAAGAUGGAAUUGAGAAUUUUAAAACUCCAGAAUGACUUAAAAUGGUGAUUUGGAGUUUGAGGACCGAUUUUGAGUCAAAUUGGAAUUUUCAUGACCUAGGGGCAAAAUGGUCAUUUUGCCACCCGAGGUUAAGAUGUGAGUGUUGGAUGAAAUUUUUGACUAAGAUUGAUCAUUUGGAACAUAAUUUGAGUUUGAGAAGUGAAAAAUUUUAAUUUCGACAUUUUUUCAAGCAUAGGGGUAAAAUAGUUAUUUUGUCACCCAAUGGCAAAAUUGUAAUUUUGCAUCACCCAACACUUGUCCAGCAUAUGGAUUUUACCCAAUAUUAUCAUGGAUAAUUGAGAAAAUUUAAGUGGUGGAGAGAGAUUGCUUAAUGGGUAAGUAUGACACAUGGACUAAUAGAAUGGUGACAUGUGUCAAAUUUUCAUCCAUUUAUUAUUUGGCUUAAAAAUCAACAUAAAAUCAGCCCAUUUCUCUUCAUAUGGCCGACCAAAGCAAUAACAAAGGAAGAAAAGAAAGAACAAGAACCCUAGGGUGAAAAUUGAAGAGAAAAUUGGUGGAUUUCAAGUAAUAAAGCAAUCAAAGGUAAAAUUUCUUGAUUUUGACUUGUGAUCUACCUUUCCCAUGCAUUCUUUUGCAUUUUUCAUGGUUGAAUCACAUGAUUUCAUGAUGGGCAUCUUGCUGGCUGAACACUUAGAGAGAGGUUUUGAUGCUUCAUUUGGUUAGAUUUCAAUGAAUUUUAGUGUUUUUAGUUAGUUAGUGAUGUGUAGCAUGAAAAUCAAGCAAGAAAAAUUCAUGUUCUUCCAUCACCCAUCAUGGCCAAAUUCUCCAUGUUGAAUAUUGAUGAUUAUUUUAAUUUUAUUUCAAGUGAUUUGGUUAGGAAUUAGUGAUUUAUGGUGUGAGAAUCAAGUAGGAAAAAUCAUAAUAUUGAUGCACCAACCAUGGCCGAAUUUUUCAAGAGAAAAUGUGGGGAUGAUUUUGCCAUAUUUCAAGUUAUUUACUUUGUGUUUGAUGAUUUGGAGAAUUGGAAGAAAAAUGGAGUUAAUUGGAGUUAAAUUGGACAUAUUGGGUAAUUAAUCGGUUGGUAGAUCGAAUUAGGCCAUUACCGUUUCAUUUAGGUACACAAUUGAAUUUGUGUGGAACACUGUGUUUAGAUGAUAAUCCAAACAAUUUGCAUUCCAUUUCAUGCAUUAGUAUAGAGCCUGAAUUGGUUUUAUAACAAUUUAGCACAAAUGUAGUAAAUGGUUUAUUGUGCCUUAUGUUUAGGUGGUGAGCAUUCUGGCAAAAGUAAAGAGAUAGUACCCGAAGACCAAGAAUCGGAGUACUCGGAAUUCGACUCCAGAAAUAGUGAGUAACCUUACUAUCGUCUUAAUUAUCUAAAGUGAUUUUUAUCUGAUUUUGUGCUUUUAUGGAAAAUGAGUUUAAAUGGUAAAUCUUUAUGUUUUAUAAACAAAAUGUGCUUAAAUGAAAUGAUUUUAUAAAUUGUCUUAAAAUUGAAUGAUGGCUUUGAAAAUAGAGUAAUUGGAGACCAUUUGAUGAAUUGUGAAUUUAUGGUUCUAACUGAUUGGCUUAUGGCAAUAUUGGCAUGAAUGGCUAAAUUGGUAUUUGUGUUGUAAAUGUAGAAACUGUUGUUUGCCUUGAUAGGCUGGAGAAUGAUAAAAUUGAUAUGUCAUGCUAUUAAAUUUUAUUGAAUUGGUGGGUUAUUGAUUAGUCGCUGCAAUGGAUGGGUUACGUGGACCAGCCUAUUAGAAGAGGUAAGGUAACCCUAUUAUAUUCUUACCUCGGUCGGAGAGGUGUGUAGGGUAACUCCCGAGGUACACUUUUAGAGUUAACUUCAUGCCAAACCACCACGUGAGGGUGAAUUCAGCCAACGCCAAGGAACAGUUGUGUUUUUCAAAAUAAAAAUAUGUUUAUGUGUAUACGAAAUUUUUAAUAGCCUUGGUGGACUCGGUUGGGAUAGUCCUCGACCAAGGUAUCCCUAAUAACUGAGUAUGAUAAUGAUUUUGGCACUAGCUAAAGCUUUUAAGAAAUUCAUAAGCCAUGUUGAUUACAUAAUUUAUAUGAAUUGAUUUUAUUUGGUUGAAAUGAGUUGAAAGGUGAUGAAUUACAAUAUGAUAAUCUAUUUUAAUCUAUCUCCAUUUACUUAGCUUUAGAUAUUUUAGAUGGCAUUUAUUUACUCACUGGGAUUAUAUAAUCUCACCACCCUCCUUUCCACCCAUUUCAGGCUAAGGAUAGUCGACUACAGUUGGACUUGCAUCCUCAAAACUGUAGGUUUAUCGCUUUUGAUACUUUUGGUCGUUUAUGGGCUUACAUGUCACUGUAAAUUAAAUCUUAUACUUUGGUUAUCUGUAUUACAGUAUGUAUAAAUUUAUUUAGCUUUCAUGCUACAAAAUUAUUUACCGGUAACUUUAUAAAUAUUGUUUAUUAAGAAAAAUAAGAAUAAUUUGUAUUGAAUAUUUUUAUUUAUAUUCNUAGUUUUUAAGGUAUUUUAGUGUUUUUAGUUGAUUAGUGAUGUGUAGCAUGAAAAGCCAACAAGAAAAAUUCAUUUUCUCCCAUCACCCAUCAUUGGCGGAAUUCUCCAUGUGGACUAUUGAUGAUGAUUUUGAUUUUAUUUCAAGUGAUUUGGUUAGGAAUUAGUGAUUUAUGGUGUGAGAAAUAAGUAGGAAAAAUCAUAGCAUUGAUGCACCCACCAUGGCCGAAUUUUCCAAGAGAAAAUGUGAGGAUGAUUUUGCCAUAUUUCAAGUUAUUUAAUUUGUGUUUAAUGAUUUGGAGAAUUGGUAGAAAAAUGGAAUUAUUUAGAGUUAAAUUGGACAUAUUGGCCAAUUAAUCGAGUGAUAAAUCAAAUUAGGCCAAUACCGUUUUAUUUAGGUACACAAUUGAAUUUGUGUAGAGCACCGUGUUUAGAUGAUAAUCCGAACAAUUUGCAUCCCAUUUCAUACAUUAGUAUAAAGCUUGAAUUGGUUUUAUAACAAUUUAGCAUAAAUGUAGUAAAUGGCUUAUUGUGCAUAUGUCUAGGUGGUGUGCAUUCUGGCAAAAGUAAAGAGAUAGUACCCGAGGAUCAAGAAUCGGAGUACAUGGAAUUCGACUCCCGAAAUAGUGAGUAACCUUACUAUCGUCUUAAUUAUCUAAAGUGGUUUUUAUCUGAUUUUGUGAUUUUAUGGAAAAUGAGUUUAAAUGGUAAAUCUUUAUGUUUUAUAAACAAAAUGUGUUUAAAUGAAAUGAUUUUAUAAAUUGUCUUAAAAUUGAAUGAUGGCUUUGAAAAUAGAGUAAUUGGAGACCAUUUGAUGUAUUGUGAAUUUAUGGUUCUAAUUGAUUGGCUUAUGGCAAUAUUGGCAUGAAUGGCUGAAUUGGUAUUUGUGUUGAAACGGUAUAUACUGUUGUUUACCUUGAUAGGCUGGAUAAUGAUAAAAUUGCCAUGUCAUGCUAUUAAAUUUUAUUGAAUUGGUGGGUUAUUGAUUAGUCGCUGCAGUGGACGGGUUCCGUGGACUAGCCUAUUAGAGCGGGCACGGUAACCCUAUUAUAUUCAUACCUCAGUAUGAGAGGCACGGAUGGAUAACUCCUGAGGUUAACACUUUAGAGUUCACUUCACGCCAAACCACCACGUGAGGGUGAACUCAGCCAA